CCACACAAGCUGCCCAACAUUUUACAUGAGGAGUACACACACAAAAAUCUUGGAAAUAUGUAAAAAUAUAAACCCGUUACAAACUGGUCAACGGAAGAUACUUCACCAUAGAUCUUACUCAGCGAGGUUGCAUACAUCGAAAUCAUAUUCAGAUCUUCACGCCGUCGAUGGCUAGUGUCCCAGUGGCAUAAGUGUCAUGGUAUUUUUCUAUGUAGUCGUUGAGCUUGAUCUUCAUGUAUCGUGCAUGUCUCUUGUCAUCCACUAGCUCUAACACCGGCUCAAGUUGUGUCUCUAGCUCCAACGUAUACACCAACACCAACGACAAGCGCUCUUUCUCCGCGUUGGUGACAACCCUAUGCACGAGGCUCUUAAAAAACCCAUUGCUCAAAAUCUACAUGCAUAAGGAUGAAAUAGAGAGAUAUGUAUUACAUCUUAUCUAGACAAUCCAAAAACAAGGUCAAACAAUUAUACAUCAAUACAUGUAGCUGCCUACAAACACAUUACCUCCAUUACGUCCCCUAUGUUUAUAACCAGUGCAUUCGAAAUGAUGGGCACGUUGUACCAGACGCCGUUUUUCUCAAGCUGGAGCCCCUCAACGUCGGUGAAGUUGACGGUGAUUAUUGAGCCGUCGGUAUGGGCCUUGAGGCCCAAGACGUGGUCUGGCCUUGGACACUGAGGGUAGUAGUUGAAUAUAGCUUGGGUGAUGGAGUUGUCGCGGAUCAUGUUUACGAGGUGUUCCUCUUGUAAAUUGAACAUCUUGGCCAUGUUUUGAAGGACAAUGUUGGUCGCCGCUUUGCACCUGACCGUGUACUCACACAGGACCUCUCUGCACAGUUAUGGAUGUCGUGUUAAGACAAUUGUACCAUAUACUAGUAAUCAACUGUCGGAGUAUCAGUUUGAAAAUGGAUGUCGCUUUAUGCAUGCAUGAUAGCAGAAUCUCCAGCAGCAUGUACCAUGUAUAGAUGGUAAAAACUUACCCACAACCUUUUGGAGAGCAGAGCAGAGCAAGGCAAUAAUGGAGGGUGGUGCCCGUUUUGUAAUUGCUGGCUCAUGGUCUGCUGCUACCUACCACGCCUUGCUGCUAGUACCUACAAAUAAUGGAGGCUACUUCUGGAGAGUAAUGAAGACCACUAAAAGCAUAGUUAAUAGUAUAACCAACUGCUGGCUAUAAGCAGUCUUAUAACCCAUCUUAUAGCUAGCUUGUACAAUAGUUAGGUGUAAAAGAGUACUAAUUUUAUCAUAUAUGGUCCACCUUUCAUUUUCACAAAACACCUAGGAGCACGUGCUAGAGCUGGCUCUUCAUGAAGAGCCCGUUUCCCUUCUCUCUCCUCUUCUCUCUCAUCCAACUUAGCAAAAUAUAGUAUUUUAAUCCUUACAGCCUGCUGACUGUACCUUAUUGUACUUGCUCUAAAGGUCCGACUCUGACUUGCUGCCUCUACAGUGUGUGAGCGUGAGUGACCAGAAACCGAGAAAUAUGGAAAACUGUUUUUUGAAAAAGGAGAUUAACCCCGGCCUAUGUAACAAUCGAUGUAUACAACCAUCUUUACAGCAACUUCGACGGGACGAUCUAAACGGACGCGUGCUUUGUCCGCUUUGUAGUAAUUAACCUAGUUAUAGUCUAAAACGUGCACGUGCAAACCGAGUAGGAUUAGUAUUGCAAACCGAGUAGGACUUGUAGUUGGCUAGGUUAGGUACUAUCUAUACCUACCUAAUAAUAAAGCAGCUAUUGCUUCCGUCGAAAAACCCACCGCGGCAUUUUUAUAAAAAGCCCCUGCUACUAUUAAAAGAAACAAUUAUUCUUAGUCUCGCUUGCAAAAUAUAUUUUUAUUUCCACGUACAAAAUAAUUGUUCGAUCCUGCACGCAACGAAACAAAUCUUAGUCGGACACGCUCGCGUUCGUGCGUAGCACAUGUACGCUGGCCUAUACUAGGCCAUGUACUGCGCCUGCUGUGCGGUUACUUUGCCUAUAUGGGCCUUCUCUUAUGGACAUAAAUAAGUAACCGAAGAGUCACGUUGGGUAUAUUUCUGAUAGCUUGGUGUAUCAAGCAUGCAUGCAUGUUUCUAAAAAGAAAUAAAAUCAAGCAUGCAUGCAUGACCAACCAAAGAAGAUGAAAUUGACUAUUUGUGAAAGAGGCCAAUUAUCUAUGAUGGGAUGCAUCGUAUACCAGUAAACUAAACUACGAACAAAAAGAUUGCUUCGAUGGCCUAGAUUAGUUCAUCUUGAUUUCUUCCACUCACGUACGAUAGUGUGCAUCUGGAUGUGUAGCCUAAAUAAACAUGUUUGCCUACUUAAGUGUGUUUGCAUUCAUUUGUGAUUGUCAGUUCAUUAAUAAUAUAAGUUCAUAAGACAUAAAUUUGAAUUGUUUGGAAUACAUGUACUCAAUAUUCUUUCAUGCUUUUAUUUCCUGAUUUGUUCAUGAAAUACACAUCGAGUUAGUGUAUACUCCCUCUGUAACUAAGCAUACAGAACAUAUUGAAGUUUUGCUCAAAGAGAGAAAGAGAGACCUUAGAACUGAACACAUUUGAACACAUUAUCGUUGUAUGAGUGUUGAGGCCACUGUCGUCAACACAAAUAUGAUUCCAUGUGAAACUAAAAGACGUGGGACUAUUAAGGUUUUGAGUCAUGGUUAUUGGGUUAAAAACGUGUGUUAUUUUUUCCGUUGCAACGCACGGGUUUUUUGCUAGUAUAAUCCUAUGUAUCCCUUGUAACAGAUCAGAUCAAUCAAAGCAAUAAACAAAACAUGUGCGACACGCACACGAUUUGGCAAACAACUCGCGUCAGGUGUUUUCUCCUCGCGUGUGUUCCGGCGACUUAGUACGUAGGUGUGUACGUACUUGUCCGGCUCGCCGAUCACGUUUGUCUCCAAGCCAAGAAUCGAUCCACGUCUGCGACUCCCACGGAAAGUGCUCGUUUACGAGCAGUGUGACGUAUAUCGGGAUCAAGUGCCAACAAUUGGUAUCUAGAGUCUCGACGAUCUACGAUCUACGAUGACGGACAGCGACGCUGAGUCGGUCAAGUCCGGUAAAGACGGUGCCAAGACGAACAUGAACAGCGACAAGGUGAAAAAUGACGGCAAGUCAGCAACCAGUGGUGAAGGGAUGGACGACGCCAACGUUCAGGCGCAUCGCAACAUCUUCUUCCAGUACUCUCUUAGGAAAGACAAACUGCUCUAGAAAAAGAGCUAGACAAAGACACUCUCCAACUUUCCCCUGGGAAGACUAGUAAUGUCACGUGAGAUUAUGCAAAACCCGUUUCUGUAUAUGGGCUUCGCAUUUUUUGGAACUGACAAUCCAUGCAGUUGUUAUAAGGGCGACACUUGAUUUUCCUGUCCUGGUUUUCUAAACGGAUCGAAAACCGGGUUAAUGUAAAACCCGUUUUUCUGCGGUGCGUUUAAGCUAACGCUGAGAAUAUAUAUACAUUCAGGCAACAAACACACAUUCGGGCUAACGUACAUACACAUGUCAGCUUCUAAUUGACUGAAAAAACGACUCAAAGCCAUUUGAAUUUUAGUCGAAUGUCAAAUAAACUCUUUGGAUCUAGUGUUGUACAGGAUUUAUCCCAAUAACCAUAUUUAUUGUAUUAAAGGGACUUGCCUGUGUGUCAGGGAUUGGGUUGUUAAUUUAGGCCUGCAAGGUUUAUCUGACUAAAAUUCUUUAAUUAUCUGGCAGUCAUCUGUUUGUUCCAAGUCCAGAGGGAUAGCUGACUCUAGAAUAGGACCUACAACCCAUUGAACCUUGGAAUUUUAGUAGUUUAGCAUCAUACCUGACCUAUUGCCCAAGCAGCUCUAACUCUAGUAUUAGAUUCACCGAGAGGAAGAAUACUGCUUUAGGUGAUUAGUUGGUCAUUAGCUACUUAUAUGCCAGAUAUUUUUAUUCUUUCUGUCAAAUCAGCAAAUGCAGAAUACCGUUAGUUAGAUAUGCAAUGAUAAUUUAACUGCACUUUGUAGCUUCGGCCUUUGGGCUUGUCAAAAGCAGAAAUUGGCUACUGUAGGAGUGCUUAUGCUAAAUUGCACGCUGCGACUGCAGAGCAACUAUAUCAGCUUAACCGAUCUUUCAGAACAUUGCUCAAGUUCUGAAUAUCUACAAUCCCUGGACUAACAAUAUGAUUGAUUUAAUUUCAUGUUCAGAAAGAGUGCAAAAUAGCAAAUGUGCAUGUGUAUGGGGCAUUACUGCUCUCUGGUCUCCAUGUCGAUGCAAUGAACCAAGGUUGUACUCCCUCCGUUCCUAAAUAUAAGACCUUUUAGAGAUUCCACUAUAAACUACAUACGGAUGUAUGUAGUCAUAUUUUAGGAUGUAGAUUCACUCAUUUUGCUCCGUAUCUAGUCUAUAAUAAAAUCUCUAAAAGGUCUUAUAUUAAGGAACGGAGGGAGUACAUGUUAAAAGAAAGAACAAUGGACAGACAGUGCGAAAGGCACUGCUGAAAAUACAGAACAACUAUAUACCAUGAUGGGUUUUUCUUUCAGUCUAGAACAGAAUGAUGAAGGUUCUUGUAGCGCUCUUGUCGGCUCAUGGCAGCUGGGCUGAUAUGUCUUCUGUUGUCACUGUCCUGCCUGUGCACCAGGCUAUACACUGAACAAGUGAAACAUGCUAAACUUGUUGAAAUUGGUAGUGGACUUUAGGCCCAUUAGAGAAUUUCAGAAAAAUCUUUAAGGGCCCAUGUAUGUGGUGGCAUGACAAGGUGGUGGGAAGUUUAGUCGUACCCCGCUAGUGGAGGAGAAGUUGGACCCCUUUAUAAGGAUCUCUCUUCCACAUGCUAUUGGAGAGUGAGAAGAGAAGGUGUCCUCGCGCACUCCUCCUCCGCCGCCCACCUCGCCACGCCUCGUCACGACGCACCGCAGGUUGCGGGAAUGAGCCGAGCCGAGCUCAUACCUACGCGUUUAUUUUUGCCGGUCAGAAACGGGGAAUACAUAACGGACACGGCACGAUCCGAGACGUCGGAUCGUGGGCUGUUACCGACUCGGACGUGGGUUCGGCCCACGUCUCUCCACCCAGCCGCCUUUAUAAGCAGGCUGUCGCCUACCCUAGCCGUCACGAGAAUCAGAUCACAUCUGCCUCACGCGUUCGUUCCUUUUACUGCUGCUGCCGCCGGCGACUCCGUCCCGUUUACCGCGUACACGGUCGACGGGAGAGCAGGCCUCCGAAACCCCGCCUCUCCGGUUCCUGUACGGGAGAGGGGCAAUUAGGUUUUUGGGGAGCGAUCACGCGACUGCUCUCCUCCGUCCGUCUGCUUCGUCUACGUCCGCGUCGCCCUCGUCAUCGUCAUGUCUUCACCAAGCGAAGCUGACCGUCUCGUCCGCGAGAAAGCCGAAGCCAAGAAGAAGGUGGCAGAGGAUGCUGCCGCCGCCACCGCUGCUGCUACGGCCAAUUGGCCGAUCGGAGGGUAUGAUAUAUUUAUCCCUCUCCUGUUUCUGUCUGCAAUAGUAGUACUGCCUAUAUGCGUAGAUGUUUCUGCUAUAUGCGUAGUACUUGCUAGUAUACUCCGUGAUCAGUAUGUCAUGAACCUAGUCAAUGCUAUGUUAGUAAUUAUUUCAUGGAUUAAUCUACUCGGAAAAUUGCCUAUUUACUCAACAAUCCAAAAACCUAAUAUGUGUAGGAAUUUUUUGAGUAAUGGUUUUGUUGUUGCACUGAAACCGGAUAAGUUUACCGGUACUUUUUUCAAGCGUUGGCAAACGAGAACCACCUUAUGACUCACGGCUAUGAAUGUGUUCUGGGUAGCCGGUGUCACUCCUACGGAAACUAUCACUCCUGAACAGGAGAAGAUGUUUAAGGAGGCCACCCUCCUAUUCCUUGGAGUAGUCAUUAGCGUGAUCGGAGAUAAGUUGGUUGAUGCAUAUUUACAUAUGCAUGUUGCCAAGGACUUGUGGGAGGCGCUCGAAUCUAAAUUCGGGGCCACCGAUGCUGGGAGUGAGAUGUAUGUUAUGGAGCAGUUCCACGAUUACAAGAUGGUUGACAACCGUUCUGUAUUGGAACAGGCUCAUGAGAUAAUAUGCAUAGCUAAAGAACUUGAGGUUCUUAAGUGCAAUUUGCCGGGCAAGUUUGUCGCGGGCUGUAUAAUUGCUAAGCUCCCUACUUCCUGGAGGAACUUUGCUACUACUCUGAAACAUCAGAGGCGUGAGUUCUCAGUAGAGGACAUCAUCGGCCAUCUGAGUGUUGAGUAGAACUCGAGAGCAAAGGACUCCAAUGGAAAAGCGGUGGAAAGCUCUUCUGCUGCCAAUAUGGUACAUCAGAGGAACCUCAAUUCCCACAAGCCCAAGGGAAAGAAUUCUGUCCAACAGAAUACCAACUUCAAGAAGAAGGGAAAGAAGCCCUUCAAGAAGAAUAAGAAGGGAGAUGGCUGCUAUACUUGUGGUUCAGAGGAACAUUGGGCGAACAAGUGCCCAAACAAGUACAAGAAGCCGGCGCAGGACUCCAAGUCUGCCAAUAUGAUUGUGGGCAACAAUGAAAGUGCUGCAUCUGGGUACGAUAAUUUACUUGCUGUAUUUACAGUUUGUCAGUCCACCGAUUGGUGGGUGGACACGGGUGCAAAUAUUCAUGUGUCCGUAUUGAUGGGGAAUGGCGCGAGUGCUUCUGUUCUUGGUGUUGGCACGGUCGAUCUGAAGUUUACUUCAGGAAGGAUCGUGCAGCUGAAGAACGUGCAGCAUGUCCCCGCCAUCAAGAAGAAUCUCGUUAGUGGCUCCCUUCUGUGUAGAGAAGGGUUUAAGUUGGUAUUCGAGUCUAAUAAAGUAUUAGUUACGAAAUAUGGACUUUUCGUUGGAAAAGGUUAUGAAUGCGGAGGUCUGUUCCGCCUUUCUCUUGCAGAUUUUUGUAAUAAAGUCGUGAACAAUAUUCAUUUGAGUGUUAAUGAAUCUGAAGUUUGGCAUUCACGUCUUUGUCACAUAAGUUUCGGUGUUAUGUCGCGGCUAGCAAAACUGAAUUUAAUCCCAACUUUCACUUUAGCCAAAGGUUCUAAGUGUCAUUCGUGUGUGCAAGCAAAGCAACCUCGCAAGCCUCACAAGGCUACAGAGGAGAGACACUUGGCACCAUUAGAACUCAUACAUUCUGAUCUUUGUGAGAUGAAUGGUGUGUUGACUAAAGGUGGAAAGAAAUAUUUCAUGACAUUGAUAGAUGAUUCCACUAGAUAUUGCUAUGUGUAUCUGUUAAAUACUAAAGAUGAGGCUCUACACUACUUUAAAAUCUAUAAGGCAGAAGUUGAGAAUCAACUUGAAAAGAAAAUUAAACGAGUCCGGUCUGAUCGUGGUGGAGAGUACUUCUCAAACGAAUUUGAUUCAUUUUGUGUGGAACAUGACAUUAUUCAUGAGAGGACGCCUCCCUAUUCACCCCAGUCAAAUGGGGUUGCCGAGCGGAAAAACCGUACUCUAACUGAUUUGGUUAACGCCAUGUUAGAUACAUCGGGUUUAUCCAAGGCAUGGUGGGGGGAGGCUAUAUUGACUGCGUGUCAUGUCCUGAAUAAAGUUCCUACAAAAGAUAAUGAGGUCACUCCCUACGAGGAGUGGUCGAAGAGAAGGACGACGCUCUCGUACUUACGUACUUGGGGCUGCUUGGCGAAAGUCAAUGUACCGAUCCCCAAGAAGCGUAAGCUUGGACCAAAGACUGUGGACCGCGUUAAUUUGGGAUACGCUAAGAAUAGCGUAGGCUAUAGAUUUCUAGUAGUGAAAUCUGAGGUACCUGACGUGAAGGUCGGUACAAUAAUGGAGUCGAGGGAUGCUACAUUCUUUGAGGAUAUAUUUCCCAUGAGAGAUAUGCAAAGCACUUCUAGACAGGAAUAUGAGAUAACUCCUGAGCCUGCCAUUCCUAUGGAAUAUUAUGAACAAACACAUGAUGAUAAUCCCGAGGAGGAUAACGAGGAAACCCUUGGUAGGGGCAAGAGACAAAGGACCGCAAAGACCUUUGGUAGUGAUUUCUUCGUAUACCUCGUGGAUGAUAAUCCCACUUCUAUUUCAGAAGCGUAUGCUUCUCCAGAUGCUGAUUACUGGAAAGCUGCGGUCCGUAGCGAGAUGGAUUCCAUCAUGGCUAACGGGACAUGGGAAAUCACUGAUCGUCCCUAUGGUUGAAAACCAUUGGGAUGCAAGUGGGUGUUCAAAAGAAGCUUAGGCCCGAUGGAACGAUUGAAAAGUACAAGGCUAGGCUUGUGGCCAAGGGCUAUGCCCAGAAAGAAGAAGAAGAUUUCUUUGAUACUUACUCACCUGUGGCUAGACUGAUCACCAUUCGAGUACUACUCUCAUUGGCGGCCUCUCAUGGUCUUCUCGUUCAUCAAAUGGACGUUAAGACGGCUUUCCUGAAUGGAGAGUGAUGGGGUUAUAGUCCUAGGGUAGGGUCAUAGGCCUGCCCUAUAAGUCCUACCCAAGGACUAUCCUUCAUAAGGGAUAAGGCCCUUAGUCAGUUCCGACUGAAUUAAGGACUUCCCAUCAUCUAGUCGGUGACGAAUCCUCCAUCAUCCAGUCGGAUAUGAGCAUUCAGAGUGUAUCAAAUUAACCGACUGGAUUCCACUCUGUGCAUCGUAACCCCCUGGAGGGAAACGGUCAUACGUUUCCAUGUGCCUUUAUUAGCAUUUAAGACAUACGUUACCUGUAACGUAGGCAUUUAUUCGCCACUACUCCACUCCUGUGCACCGAACCGUUGUGAAGGGCAGCGCACUCUAUAUAAGCCACCCUUCCCCACUGGUGCAAGGGUUAGCAAUUCACUGUAAUCCAUAUUCCACUCGACAACAAGCUCCCAGAGCACUGAGACGUAGGGCUAUUACCUCCACCGUAGAGGGGCCUGAACUCCUACAACCUCGCCGUAGCUAAGGCUCUGCCCAUCCUUUCGUACCCUACACAUCUACUGUCAGACUUAUACCCACGACAGCUGGCGCCCACCUUGGGGCAGGCGUCUAAGCGACUUCCGGCGAGUUUGCGACUACAUCUUUUCGUCAUGUCAUCCGGUGGAGAUUUGAGCAUGGGUCACGAGAUCCUCUUCGGCGCUCUCUCCUUCAUCGUCGACGAUUCGGCAUGGCUUCGGGACGCCCCUCUCGAUGUCGAGGCGCUCCCCAUCGCGGGGCUACGCACUUCCGUACCGGCGCCCGCGGUAUUCUUCUUCUCCAGCAGUCGGCUCCGGUGUCGACCUACACCGCCGUCACGCGCCGCAACAAGCGGUCCCGCCGUCCGUGGCUCUAGCGUUGGGUGCAACACGCCCAGGCGCGCCAGAACGCGUCUUCACAAGUGGCGGUCCUAGUGUCGGUUGUGGUUGCCCUGCCGUCCCAGCGCUCGGACUCGGUUCCGAUUGAGUUUCCUUCCGAGUACUUGGGUCGCGGGCCUACAGCAGAAGUGCACAUGGCCAACUCCCAUGAAAGUCCCCGCCAAACUGGCCGGAACGAGCACGAGAUCGGUGAAACAUCCGGCGCUCGCCGUCCGCCUCGCCGUUCUGCCAGUCGGCACACUCGGCGGAGCAACGUGGAGGUGUUCCGCACACCCAUCCUCAACCUGGCUGCCGCUGCCAAGAUAGCCGAUUCCCUUCAGCCGACUGAUUCAGAGGCUGGCAGGGGGAUCGAGCAAAUCCGCGCCCUACUGCACACGGCGCAGCAACAAAAUUCGGCGGUCUCCGAGUCGCACAACAGGAUCCACAAUAGUUUUGUUCAUGCGAACACGCAUCGGUCAGUUCACAACCCUGGUUCUCAUCAGCGACACAGGGGAGGCAGCCGUUCCAUAAAUCCCGAAGAUCGUCGCCGUUCACGCACCCCUCCGCGGGGUGGGCCCUACGGGCCCCGACAUCAUGAUGAUCGACAUUCAGUCGGUGACACUUACGAUCCUAGGCCUGACACGAGAGGGCAUAUCGCCCAGCGGAGGGUCGACAGGGGCCGAGCCCACCGCGAUGGUCACGAUAUGGACCGUCCGAGUGGAAGCAGGACCAUCGUUUCUGGUCCCGAGUGUUUCAGUCGAGCCAUCCGUUCGGCUGACAUCCCUCCCAACUUCCGAUUGGCGACGGGGAUCAGCAAGUUUACAGGAGAAUCCAAGCCAGAAACGUGGCUGGACGACUACCAAGUGGUAGUCCAGAUCGGAGGAGGGGACGACCACAUCGCCAUGAAGCAUCUCCCUCUGAUGCUCGAUGGCUCGACACGAGCGUGGCUGAACCAGUUGGCCCCCUCAAGCAUCUACAGCUGGGCAGAUCUGGCCCGAGUCUUCAUCAGGACCUUCGAAGGGACGUGCAAACGCCCUGCUGGCCUCGUGGAGCUCCAACAUUGUGUCCAGAAGCAGAAUGAGCCCCUGCGCGAUUUCAUUCAGCGUUGGACGACCCUCUACCACACGGUGGAGAACGUCACAGAGCACCAAGCAGUCUGCGCCUUCAAGGCAGGCGUGCGGUACAGAGAUUUGUACCUGAAGUUCGGUCGAACAGGCGACAUCUCCAUGAGCAAGAUGAUGGAGAUAGCGGCACGCUAUGCAAACAGUGAAGAAGAGGACCGCAUCCGUAGCGGCAAGCACAAAGCAGUGGCCGAUGGGGAUGGGAAUAACACUUGGAAGCAGAAGCAGAAAGCUCCGUCCACUCCGCAGGCAGAAGCCGCAACUGUUACCAAUGCCAAGUUCAAAGGCAAAGGGAAGGCUCAGUUCACCCCAAGAAGAAGCAGUUCAGUAACCCCAUCCUGGACCAGCCAUGCCCGAUUCACACGAAGAUGGAUGAAGAGGGCAACACCAUAUAUCCGAAGCAUACCGCUCGGCAAUGUCGCCUCCUGAUCUAGGGGUUUGGCGAAGGGCAACCGAGUGAAAAGGGCAAUGAACAGGAUGAGGAGGACAAGGAGGAUCCGUUCCUCCAAGUCCAUGCAACACUUAUGAUUUUUGCUGAUGUUGAGAGCAAGAGUCGACUGAAGCUGGUGAACAGGGAGGUGAACAUGGCCACGCCUACCAACCCCAAGUUCUUCAAAUGGUCUCAGACUGCGAUCACCUUUGACCAGUCGGAUCAUCCAGCACACGUACACACCCCAGGGAGACAGGCUCUGGUCGUCGACCCGGUGGUAGAAGGAGUCCGACCGCGGAAAGUCCUCAUGGACAGCGGCAGUGGCUUGAACAUCAUGUACGCCGACACUCUCAAGGGGAUGGGCAUUCCGAUGUCCAAACUCAGCGAGAGCAGCAUGCAGUUCCAUGGAGUCGUCCCUGGACGAAAGGCCAAGUCACUCGGCCAGAUCGCGUUGGACGUCGUUUUCGGCUCCGACAAGAACUUGCGCAAGGAAAAGCUGACGUUCGAGGUGGUGGACUUCCAGAGCGCGUACCACGCAAUUCUGGGCCGCCCGGCGUAUGCGUGUUUCAUGGCCCGUCCAUGUUACGUGUACCUGAAGCUGAAGAUGCCAGGCCCGAAAGGUGUGAUCACUAUCACAUGCAAUCGAUAGUGAGCCGAGGAGUGUCUACAGCAGGGAUCAAGGAUCGCCGAUCAGCAGAUGGCUGUCUUCGAGCUUGACGAAUACAAGAAAACAGUCGACCCCGCUGACUUGAUGCGUGCGAAGAAGCCAGCUUCGGAGUCCGCAUUCCAGUCGGCGGGAGAGACGAAGAAGGUCAGCAUCCACCCGACGGACGACACCGCUGCCCCAACGAACAUCUCCACCACCCUCGAUCCUAAAUAGGAAGCCGAGCUCAUCCAAUUCCUUCGUGAGAACUGGGAUAUCUUCGCAUGGAAGCCCUCUGACAUGCCAGGUGUACCCAGGGAGUUGGCUGAGCACCGACUGUAUGUGGAUCCCGCCGCUCGGCCUGUUCGAGAACGCCUGCGUUGGUCCGCCGUGCACAAGAGGAAGGCAAUCGGAGAAGAGGUGGCCAAGCUUUUGGCAGCCAACUUCAUUCGCGAGGUACACCACUCCGAGUGGCUCGCCAAUGUUGUCAUGGUGCCCAAGAAGGACAAGUCGCUCCGAAUGUGCAUCGACUUCAAGCAUCUCAAUAAGGUCUGCCCGAAAGACCAUUUUCCGCUCCCCGCAUCGAUCAAAUUGUCGAUUCGACUGCGGGUUGCAAGCGUUUGUCAUUUCUUGAUGCCUACUCGGGCUAUCAUCAGAUCCGUCUGUAUGGCCCCGAUGAAUUAAAAACCGCCUUCAUCACCCCAUUCGGGUGCUUCUACUACAUCACUAUGCCAUUUGGUUUGAAGAAUGCAGGAGCAACCUUUAUGCGCAUGAUCCAAAAAUGCCUCCUCGACCAGAUCGGUUGGAAUGUGGAGGCGUAUAUGGAUGAUAUCGUAGUCAAGUCACGCAAAGGUUCCGACCUGCUGACUGACUUGGCAGAAACAUUCGCCAACCUUCGUAGGUACGAUAUCAAGCUCAACCCAGCCAAGUGCUCAUUCGGUGUUCCCAGCGGAAAGUUACUCGGUUUCUUCGUUUCCGAACGAGGGAUCGACGUCAACCCCGAAAAGAUCGAGACCAUCGUCCGAAUGGAGCGGCCGGUCAGAAUACACGAUGUUCAAAGGCUCACAGGUUGGCUAGUGGCUUUGAGCAGGUUUAUCAGUCGACUCGGCGAGAAGGCACUUCUCUGUACCAACUCAUGAAAAAUCAGAUACUUUCGAGUGGACAGACGAAGCCCAAGUCGCAUUCGAUGACCUCAAAGUCCUACUUUCCACCCAGCCGGUUCUUACUGCUCCGCCCAGUAAAGAGCCCCUUCUUCUGUACAUCGCGGCUACAAAUCAAGUCGUCAGCACUGUUCUCACAGUCGAACGAGAAGAAGAAGGCAAAGCAUACAAAGUUCAGCGGCCAGUGUAUUACGUCUCCGAAGUCCUGACUCCUUCCAAGCAGAGGUAUCCCCACUAUCAAAAACUUAUCUACGGGAUUUACAUGACUGCGAAGAAGGUGGCUCAUUAUUUCCAAGACCACUCGGUGUCCGUCGUUUCUGAUGCUCCGUUGUCGGAAAUCCUCCACAAUCGGGACGCAUCGGGCCGAGUGGCGAAGUGGGCAAUGGAGAUGUUGUACUGCGACAUCAAGUUCGAGGCCAAGAAAGGUAUUAAGUCUCAAGCUCUGGCUGACUUCAUAACAGAAUGGGUAGAACAACAGCAACCGACCCACAUCUACUCGGCUCAUUGGACAAUGUUCUUUGAUGGGUCCAAGAUGUUGAAUGGCUCCGGCGCUGGCGUUGUGAUCAUAUCGCCAAAGGGUGACAAACUCAAAUAUGUGUUGCAGAUACACUUUGAUUCCUCCAACAACGAGGCUGAGUAUGAAGCUCUCCUUUACGGACUGCACAUGGCCAUCGCACUCGGCGUCCGUCGCCUGAUGGUCUAUCGCGAUUCGGAUUUGGUGGUUAAUCAAGUGAUGAAGGAGUGGGACGUCAGGAACCCCACCAUGACCACAUACUGCAAUGCAGUGAGGAAGCUUGAGAAAAGUUCGAAGGUCUAGAACUCCACCAUGUUCCGCGACUGAAGAACCAGGCAGCUGAUGAGUUGGCAAAACUCGGAUCCACUCGGGGACCAGUCCCGAGUGACGUCUGCCUCGAGCACCUCCACCUUCCCUCAGUUAAAGAAGAUCUGUUCACAGAGGAACCAGUACAACCAAAGAGCUCAACAGAUCCGACUGAAGUCGACGUACCUGCUGUGGUUGAUUUGAUCAUGGAGAUUCUUGCUGUCAUCCCCGAUUGGACUGUGCCGAUCAUUGCAUAUAUCCUGAGGCAAGAAUUACUAGAAGACAAAGUCCAAGCCAGAUAGAUCGUCCGUAGGUCAAAGUCGUUCACUGUCAUCGACGGCCAGUUGUACAAGGAAAGCGUUUCAGGCGUUCCUCAACGAUGCAUCUCCCCAGAGGAGGGACAGUUAAUCCUGGAGGAAAUUCACUCGGGAACCUGCGGUCAUCACGCCUUUUCAAGAGCAAUCGUCGCCAAAGCAUUCAGAGCUGGCUUCUUCUGGCUGCAGGCAAAUGAAAUGGCGAAAGAUAUGGUCGACCGAUGUGAAGGCUGUCAGUUCUACUCUAACAAGUCCCACAAGCCAACAUCUGCGUUGAAGACAAUCCCUCUUGUUUGGCCGUUUGUGGUAUGCGGAUUGGAUACAGUCGAUCCAUUCAGGACAGGCCAAGGGGGAUUCACACAUCUGUUGGUGGCAGUCGACAAGUUCACAAAGUGGAUCGAAGCCAAGCCCAUCAAGAAGCUCGACGCCCUAACAACCAUCAAGUUUGUCAGGGACAUCAUCUCCAGAUUCGGGGUACCUCACAGCAUAAUCACUGACAACGGAACAAACUUUGACUAGGACAGAUUCAAAGGUUUCUGUACAAGCCAAGGUAUCCGAGUGGAUUUUGCAUCUCUGGCGCAUCCCCAAACAAACGGGCAAGCAGAGCGGGCAAAUGGACUUAUUCUGCAAGGUUUGAAGCCUCGACUCCUGCGAGAGGUGGGACAUGCCGCUCGCGCAUGGGUCACCGAGCUACCUUCGGUGCUUUGGGGUCUCCGCACAACCCCAAAUAGAUCUACAGGGCGAUCCCCGUUCUUCCUCGUUUACGGAGCAGAGGCAGUCCUUCCGAGUGACUUGCUUCACAAUGCUCCACGGGUUGAACUCUUCUCCGAAGCUGAAGCAGAACAAGCAAGGCAAGACGGAGUGGAUCUUCUAGAGGAGGAGCGCGAGAUGGCACUGACUCACUCAACCAUUUAUCAACAAGAUCUGCGGCGUUUUCACGCGCGACACGUCUGGAGUCGUACAUCCCAAGCAGGUGACCUGGUGCUCCGAGUGGAUCAGCAGAGACCUCACAAGUUGGCUCCCGCCUGGGAAGGACCCUUCAUCAUCUCCAAGGUGCUGAACAACAGUGCAUACCGACUCUACAACAUCGACAGGGAAACGGACGAGCCGCGAGCAUGGAACGAAGAUCUUCUGAAGCGCUUCUACACGUGACCGUCGACUGAAGCAAUGUAAAGAACAAGUAUUGGUGAAAUAAUACAAAGCAGAUUGAGUUUUUGCAGAUUCGAAAUUCUUCCGCGGUCGCAGACUCCAGUCUCAAAAAAACUUAGCUGCGAUCACGAAUCGCCUAAGUAUUAACUUUCUCUGAGUGUGCACUUAACAUCGCACUCGGGGACUUAGCUGCGAUCCAGAAUCGCCUAAGUACUAACUUUCUCCGAGUGUGCACUUAAUGUCGCACUCGGGGACUUAGCUGCGAUCCAGAAUCGCCUAAGUACUAACUUUCUUUGAGUGUGCACUUAACGUCGCACUCGGGUCGCUAGCUGCGAUCCAGAAUCGCCUNNNNNNNNNNNNNNNNNNNNNNNNNNNNNNNNNNNNNNNNNNNNNNNNNNNNNNNNNNNNNNNNNNNNNNNNNNNNNNNNNNNNNNNNNNNNNNNNNNNNUUCUACAGGCUCAAACUAGUUUGAGGGUCGGACCUCUAAAAUAUUUACGGGUUUAAGGGUUUAAGAGUUCUAGUCUACGCCGUUUUUCGGACGAAAACCGUAAAAAACAGUUAUUUUAAGGGUUUGGGGUUUGAGGGUUCUACUAGAGAUGCUCUUACGUCUGUUGAUCUAUGAAGCAGACAGCAUCUAGGCUUCCGAGGAAGACUUUGGAAUAUACUCUCUGUUUUCAUUUUGAGGGGGUCUUUGGAAUAUACGCGUGCCUGGUGAAGCACCUCACAGCUUGAUCUUGACGGCUAUGAGCCAAGAGGUUCAACACCUGAGACCAGCCGGGGUUACCGUCCGUUUUAUAACUCCGUUCUUCUCGGAGAAAAACCGGUGAGAUAGUCUGGUCAAUCCAAAACUGAACAACCCUUAUUUAGGAAGUUAAAACAUCUGCAGGGCAGUAAAGAGAAACCAAAAGACGGCAGCAUCUUUUGCAGACAAUGUCAGACAUUGUAACUGUAGAUGAUAUCGAGUGCCAACUGUGGAUCUGCAAUAAUUUGUAAGUUGCAUUUCAGAGCCUUCAUCUGAUAUUCACCCUAGACAGGGUCAGUUAAGCUCAGCACGUUCACCUGUUCAGUGUAUAGUGCAAAUGCACAGUGACGACUCAAGACCUGUAUUUUCAACAGUGCCUUUUGCACUGGCUGUUGAUUGUUCUUUUAAUAUGUACUACAAUCUUGCUUCACUGCGUCGACAAGGAAACCUGAGAGCAGUAAUGCCCCAUACACAUGUGCAAAUUUGCUAUUUUGCACGCUUUCUAAACAGGAAAAUGAAACACUCAUUUUCGUUAGUCUAAUGACUGUAGAUGUCAGAACUUGAGGCAAUGUCCUGAAAGAUCAGUUAAGGUGAUUAGGCUGGUAUGAUCGCUCACCGGUCAUAUACUGCAACUCAACAAAAACACUCCUACAGCAGCCAAUUUCUGCCCUUUGACAAACCUGGAGCCACAAACUACAGUUGAAUUAUCAUUGCAUAUGUAACUAAUGGUAAAGGGUGGUUGAUUAUAUGGAAAGAAAAAAGCCCAUCUGGCAUAUGACCAAUUAAUCAUCAAAAAUAAAUAUUCUUCCUCUCAGUGAAUCUCAUACUAAGGUUAGAUUUGCUCAGGAUUAUGUAGCCACAGGUCAGGAAAGAUGCUAAACUACUACAAUUCCUGGUUGCUUGGGUUGCAUGUCCUAUUCUUGGGUCAGCUAUCCCUUCAGACUUGGAACAAACAGCAUGACCGGGAGAUACUUAAACAGUCUAUAUCUAAUAAUAAAGCGGCUAUUGCUUUCGUCGGAAAACCCACCACGGCAUUUUUAUAAAAAAGCCCUUGUAAUUUUGUUAUUCAACCCGUGCUCCAUCAUUUAUCUGCAACGCAAAAGGAAAAACGAUUCGCUGCAAAAAUUAUACCCGUACGCAUCGCCUCCUCCCGUCGAUCCUGGGCCACCCUGGCAUGUGCCUAGGCCGCCGCCACAUCACUCGCCGCCGCGGCCGACCUCAACCCCACCUCUGCCGAUCUCAACCCACCCGCCUCCGCGGUCGUACCUCUCCCUACUCACUGCCCCUGUUGCGGCGCUCGAGCGCAUCGCGUCGACCCUGCUCCACCCUAGGCUGUGCCCAGGCCGCUGCCACACCACUCGUCGCCGCGGCCGACCUCAACCACCACUGUUGUCGAUCUCAACCCACCCGCCUCCACGGCCGUACCUCUGCCCGCUUGCUGCCCCGUUUCGACGCUCGAGCACAACUUCUGGAUCAAAUCAACGCGACAGCUACAGUGACUGGGGAUGAUGCGUCUGCUCGAUGCAGAACGGCGGCGGCGCGCGGAUAAGACGCGGCGGAGCAAAUUACUUGCAGGUGGAGGCGGGCCUCCAUGACUCACACGGGGAACUCCGAGGUUAUGGCGCGGCAACAACGACUCCUUAUGGCCACAUAGAGGCGCCUAACCCUGGCUCUCCUCUUCGUAUCCUCUCCUCCGGCAGGAACUCAUCAUCUCGUGAGAUCCCCUCCCCAUGCCUCCAACCGUGUGCCAAGCACCGACAAGAAAAUUUGUUUUAUGGUGAUUUAUUUACUGAUGAAUGAAUGUAUUGAAUGUAAGAUUGUAUUGUUGUAGAGACAGAGAAUGAAACACCACCUUCAGUUUGUCAUCUGAUCCCACAUUCUCUACCCCAUGAAUGAAAUAAGAUAACAGUCAAUUGAUCAAUUCAGGUAGCCUCUUUGUUUUGCUUUGCUUGUCCCGCUCAAUUUCUCAUCAUGAUAAAAUUAACAAUGGACGGGUUGAUUUCUCAACAAAAUAGGAUAGGACUGACUACAUUAGUUAGUUAGCUUAUUAUUUUAAUAAAUCAAACUGAUUAUAAAAAGACUAAAAGCGUGUGGUAUUUUUUCUCCCGUUGCAACGCACGGACCCUUUUGCUAGUAUUAGUCAAAUAAACCUAACAGAACCACAGCUUAUUCAAGUACCUAGGUUAACAAGCACGCACAUAGCAAAUGCAAGCAUAGUAAAUACAAUCGCACGAGAAGGCCAAAUGAAAACUGACAAGCAUUCUCUGAUGAUAUAUACAAGACAAUAUUAUUAUUACUACUAGAGGAUCGAACACUUAUUAUUUAGGAGGGCUGACAAUCUCGAGUGCAAGCUAACAGGAAGUCAGUUCAGAACUUGGAUCAAACUGCAUCGAAUUGGGACGUGUUCCAUGCUUUAAAAAAAGCAGUACAAGAACUUUGGAAACAGAUCCUGUCAACAACACAAAAAUAAAUAAAUCCAAAUAUCGUACGCCAUCACUUUCAGAAUUAAAACAUCUGCGCGGCGGCAGUAAAUAGUUGACAUAUAAUCUAAAAAUAGUGGAUGACAUCAUGCACCAACCAAUUGCACUUCAGAGACUUCACACAGAGUCAGUUUUGUUGAGUAAAUAGGCAAUUUUCCGAGUAGAUUAAUACAUGAAAUAAUUACUAACAUGACAUUGACUAGGUUCAUGACAUACUGAUCAGGGAGUAUACUAGCAAGUACUACGCAUAUAGCAGAAACAUCUACGCAUAUAGGCAGUACUAUUAUUGCAGACAAAAACAGGAGAGGGAUAAACAUAUCAUACCCUCCGAUCGGCCAAUUGGCCGUAGCAGCAGCGGUGGCGGCGGCAGCAUCCUCUGCCGCCUUCUUCUCGACUUCGGCCUUCUCGCGGACGAGACGGUCAGCUUCGCUUGGUGAAGACAUGACGAUGACGAGGGCGACGCGGACGUAGACGAAGCAGACGGACGGAGGCGAGCAGUCGCGUGAUCGCUCCCCAAAAACCUAAUCNNNNNNNNNNNNNNNNNNNNNNNNNNNNNNNNNNNNNNNNNNNNNNNNNNNNNNNNNNNNNNNNNNNNNNNNNNNNNNNNNNNNNNNNNNNNNNNNNNNNGGGUGACGGGGAGCAUAGGCCKRKSGRSCAGCAGGGGACGACGCUAGGGCCGACGGGGACGAAGUGGUCGGGACGGCGGGCGGGGUGGUGGCCGGCGGUGUGUGUAGGGUCGGGAGAGAUGGCGGUGGAGGAAGGAUCCGGCGGAGUUGAGAGUCCCUCCGGUCUCUCGUCGCUAGUCCUCCCGGUCCUUUUGUUGGGGAACGUCGCAUGGGAAACAAAAUUUUCCUACGUGCACGAAGACCUAUCAUGGUGAUGUCCAUCUACGAGAGGGGAUGUGUGAUCUACGUACCCUUGUAGACCGUACAGCAGAAGCGUUAGUGAACGCGGUUGAUGUAGUGGAACGUCCUCACGUCCCUCGAUCCGCCCCGCGGACUAUCCCGCGAUCAGUCCCACGAUCUAGUGCCAAACAGACGGCACCUCCGCGUUCAGCACACGUAUAGCUCGACGAUGAUCUCGGCCUUCUUGAUCCAUCAAGAGAGACGGAGAGGUAGAAGAGUUCUCCGGCAGCGUGACGGCGCUCCGGAGGUUGGUGAUGAUCUCGUCUCAGCAGGGCUCCGCCCGAGCUCCGCAAAAACGCGAUCUAGAGGUAAAACCGUGGAGAUAUGUGGUCGGGCUGCCGUGGCAAAGUUGUCUCAAAUCAGCCCUAAAACCUCCGUAUAUAUAGGGGGAAGAGGGGGAGCCUUGCCUUGGGGUCCAAGGACCCCUAAGGGCUUCGGCCGAGCCAAGGGGGAAGGUCUCCCUCCCCAAACCGAGUCCUACUUGGUUUGGAAGGUGGAGUCCUUCUUCCCUUUCCCACCUCCUCCUUUCUUUUUUCUCUUUCUUUUUUCUUCCAAUGCGCAUAGGGCUCUUUUGGGCUGUCCCACCAGCCCACUAAGGGCUGGUGCGCCACCCUCAAUGCCUAUGGGCUUCCCCGGGGUGGGUUGCCCCCCCCCGGUGAACCCCCGGUGAAGUGGCUGUGGUGUUCCAGGCGGUGUCAAUUGUGAAACAAUUCCACAUUGUCUUAAGUGAGCACCAAACUCGAAACUCAGAUAUUCACCCCCACGAUCAGACCGUAGGAACUUGAUCUUCUUGUUACGAUGAUUUUCAACUUCACUCUGAAAUUGCUUGAACUUUUCAAAUGUUUCAGACUCGUGCUUCAUCAAGUAGACAUAACCAUAUCUACUCAAAUCGUCAGUGAAGGUGAGAACAUAACGAUAUCCGCCGCGUGCCUCCAUGCUCAUCGGACCACACACAUCGGUAUGUAUGAUUUCCAACAAGUCACUUGCACGCUCCAUUGUUCCGGAGAACGGAGUUUUAGUCAUCUUGCCCAUGAGGCAUGGUUCGCACGUGUCAAGUGAAUCAAAGUCAAGUGACUCCAAAAGUCCAUCGGCAUGGAGUUUCUUCAUGCGCUUUACACCAAUAUGACCUAAGCGGCAGUGCCACAAAAAUAUGGCGCUAUCAUUGUUAACUCUAACUCUUUUGGUCUCAAUGUUAUGUGUGUGUGUGUAUCACUAUCAAGAUUCAAUAUGGGCAAUCCUCUCACAUUGGGUGCAUGACCAUAAAAGAUGUUACUCAUAGAAAUAGAACAACCAUUAUUCUCUGACUUAAAAGAGUAACCGUCUCGCAAUAAACAAGAUCCAAAUAUAAUGUUCAUGCUCAACGCAGGCACUAAAUAACAAUGAUUCAAGUUCAUAACUAAUCCUGAUGGUAACUGAAGUGAAACUGUGCCGACGGCGAUUGCAUCAACCUUGGAACCAUUUCCUACGCGCAUCGUCACUUCAUCUUUCGCCAGCCUUCGUCUAUUCCGCAAUUCCUGUUUCGAGUUGCAGAUAUGAGCAACAGAACCGGUAUCGAAUACCCAUGCACUACUACGAGAGCCGGUUAAGUACACAUCAAUAACAUGUAUAUCAAAUAUACCUGAUUUUUCUUUGGCCGCCUUCUUUUCAGCCAGAUACUUGGGGCAAUUGCGCUUCCAGUGACCCAUACCCUUGCAAUAGUAACACUCUGUUUCAGGCUUAGGUCCAGCUUUGGGUUUCUUCGUCGGAUUGGCAACAGGCUUGCCGCUCUUCUUCGAAUUACCCUUCUUGCCUUUGCCGUUUCUCUUGAAACUAGUGGUCUUAUUCACCAUCAACACUUGAUGCUCUUUACGGAGUUCAGACUAUGCGACUUUCAGCAUCGCAAACAACUCGCCGGGAGACUUGUUCAUCCCUUGCAUGUUGUAGUUCAACACAAAGCCUUUAUAGCUUGGCGGCAGGGAUUGAAGGAUUCUGUCAGUGAUAGCUUCUUGCGGGAGUUCAAUGCCCAGCUCAGCUAGACGGUUUGAGUACCCAGACAUUUUGAGCACAUGUUCACUGACAGACGAAUUCUCCUCCAUCUUGCAAGCAUAGAAUUUAUCGGAGGUCUCAUACCUCUCGAUCCGGGCGUUCUUCUGAAAGAUAAACUUCAACUCUUGGAACAUCUCAAAUGCUGCAUGAUGCUCAAAGCGACGUUGAAGUCCCGGUUCUAAGCCAUACAAGACUGCACAUUGAACUACUGAGUAGUCCUCCUUACGUGCUAACCAAGCGUUCUUAACAUCCUGAUCAGCCGUAGCGGGUGGUUCAUCUCCUAGCGCAGCAUUAAGGACAUAAUCCUUCUUCCCAGCUUGUAAGAUUAGCUUAAGAUUACGAGCCCAGUCUACAAAGUUGCUUCCAUCAUCUUUCGACUUAGCUUUCUCUAGGAACGUAUUAAAAUUGAGGGUGACUGUCGCGUGAGCCAUGAUCUACAACACAAAUAUAUGCAAAGUGGACUUAGACUAUGUUCAAGAUAAUUAGAGUUUAACUUAAUCAAAUUACUCGCUAAACUCCCACUCAAAAGUACAUCUCUCUAGCCAUUUGAGUGGUUCAUGAUCCACUUACACUAGCUCAAGUCCGAUCAUCACGUGAGUUGAGCAUAGUUUCAGUGGUAAGCAUCCCCAUGCUAAUCAUAUCAUCUAUAUGAUUCAUGAUCGACCUUUCGGUCUCAUGUGUUCCGAGGCCAUGUCUGCACAUGCUAGGCUCGUCAAGCUUAACCCGAGUGUUCCGCGUGCGCAACUGUUUUGCACCCGUUGUAUGUGAACGUUGAGUCUAUCACACCCGAUCAUCACGUGGUGUCUCGAAACGACGAACUGUAGCAACGGUGCACAGUCGGGGAGAACACAAUUUCGUCUUGAUAUUUUAGUGAGAGAUCACCUCAUAAUGCUACCGUCGUUCUAAGCAAAAUAAGGUGCAUAAAAGGAUUAACAUCACAUGCAAUUCAUAAGUGACAUGAUAUGGCCAUCAUCACGUGCUCCUUGAUCUCCAUCACCAAAGCAUCGGCACGAUCUUCUUGUCACCGGCGCCACACCAUGAUCUUCAUCAACGUGUCGCCAUCGGGGUUGUCGUGCUACUCAUGCUAUUACUACUAAAGCUACAUCCUAGCAAAAUAGUAAACGCAUCUGCAAGCACAAACGUUAGUUAUAAAGACAACCCUAUGGCUCCUGCCGGUUGCCGUACCAUCGACGUGCAAGUCGAUAUUAUCUAUUACAACAUGAUCAUCUCAUACAUCCAAUAUAUCACAUCACAUCAGUGGCCAUAUCACAUCACAAGCAUACCCUGCAAAACAAGUUAAACGUCCUCUAAUUUUGUUGUUGCAUGUUUUACGUGGUGACCAUGGGUAUCUAGUAGGAUCGCAUCUUACUUACGCAAACACCACAACGGAGAUAUAUGAGUUGCUAUUUAACCUCAUCCAAGGACCUCCUCGGUCAAAUCCGAUUCAACUAAAGUUGGAGAAACUGACACCCGCCAGUCAUCUUUGAGCAACGGAGUUACUCGUAGCGAUGAAACCAGUCUCUCGUAAGCGUACGAGUAAUGUCGGUCCAAGCCGCUUCGAUCCAACAAUACCGCGGAAUCAAGAAAAGACUAAGGAGGGCAGCAAAACGCACAUCACCGCCCACAAAAACUUUUGUGUUCUACUCGAGAAGACAUCUACGCAUGAACCUAGCUCAUGAUGCCAGUGUUGGGGAAUGUCGCAUGGGAAACAAAAAUUUUCCUACGCGCACGAAGACCUAUCAUGGUGAUGUCCAUCUGCGAGAGGGGAUGUGUGAUCUACGUACCCUUGUAGACCGUAUAGCAGAAGCGUUAGUGAACACGGUUGAUGUAGUGGAACGUCCUCACGUCCCUCGAUCCGCCCCGCGAACUAUCCCGCGAUCAGUCCCACGAUCUAGUGCCAAACGGACGGCACCUCCGCGUUCAGCACACGUACAACUCGACGAUGAUCUCGGCCUUCUUGAUCCAGCAAGAGAGACGGAGAGGUAGAAGAGUUCUCCGGCAGCGUGACGACGCUCCGGAGGUUGGUGAUGAUCUCGUCUCAGCAGGGCUCCGCUCGAGCUCCGCAAAAACGCGAUCUAGAGGUAAAACCGUGGAGAUAUGUGGUCGGGCUGCCGUGACAAAGUUGUCUCAAAUCAGCCCUAAAACCUCCGUAUAUAUAGGGCGAAGAGGGGGAGCCUUGCCUUGGGGUCCAAGGACCCCUAAGGGCUUCGGCCGAGCCAAGGGGGAAGGUCUCCCUCCCCAAACCGAGUCCUACUUGGUUUGGAAGGUGGAGUCCUUCUUCCCUUUCCCACCUCCUCCUUUUUUUCUCUUUGAUUUUUUCUUCCAAUGCGCAUAGGGCUCUUUUGGGCUGUCCCACCAGCCCACUAAGGGCUGGUGCACCACCCUCAAUGCCUAUGGGCUUCCCCGGGGUGGGUUGCCCCCCGGUGAACUCCCGGAACCCAUUCGUCAUUCCCGGUAGAUUCCCGGUAACUCCGAAAACCUUCCGGUAAUCAAAUGAGGUCAUCCUAUAUAUCAAUCUUCAUUUCCGGACCAUUCUGGAAACCCUCGUGACGUCCGUGAUCUCAUCCGGGACUCCGAACAACAUUCGGUAACCAACCAUAUAACUCAAAUACGCAUAAAACAACGUCGAACCUUAAGUGUGCAGACCCUGCGGGUUCGAGAACUAUGUAGACAUGACCCGAGAGACUCCUCGGUCAAUAUCCAAUAGCGGGACCUGGAUGCCCAUAUUGGAUCCUACAUAUUCUGCGAAGAUCUUAUCGUUUGAACCUCAGUGCCAAGGAUUCAUAUAAUCCCGUAUGUCAUUCCCUUUGUCCUUCGGUAUGUUACUUGCCCGAGAUUCGAUCGUCAGUAUCCGCAUACCUAUUUCAAUCUCGUUUACCGGUAAGUCUCUUUACUCGUUCCGUAAUACAAGAUCCCGCAACUUACACUAAGUCACAUUGCUUGCAAGGCUUGUGUGUGAUGUUGUAUUACCGAGUGGGCCCCGAGAUACCUCUCCGUCACACGGAGUGACAAAUCCCAGUCUCGAUCCAUACUAACUCAACGAAGACCUUCGGAGAUACCUGUAGAGCAUCUUUAUAGUCACCCAGUUACGUUGCGACGUUUGAUACACACAAAGUAUUCCUCCGGUGUUAGUGAGUUAUAUGAUCUCAUGGUCAUAGGAACAAAUACUUGACACGCAGAAAACAGUAGCAAUAAAAUGACACGAUCAACAUGCUACGUCUAUUAGUUUGGGUCUAGUCCAUCACGUGAUUCUCCUAAUGACGUGAUCCAGUUAUCAAGCAACAACACCUUGUUUAUAAUCAGAAGACACUGACUAUCGUUGAUCAACUGACUAGCCAACUAGAGGCUUGCUAAGGACAGUGUUUUGUCUAUGUAUCCACACAUGUAUAUAAGUCUUCAUUCAAUACAAUUAUAGCAUGGAUAAUAAACGAUUAUCUUGAUACAGGAAUUAUAAUAAUAACUAUAUUUAUUAUUGCCUCUAGGACAUAAUUCCAACACCUUUUUUUCUGAGCGCUAGUCACUAGCCCAAGGAAGGAUCGGGUACGGAAUGACGAUAUACGAGAGAGACUUGGGGUAGCACCGAUUGAAGAGAAGCUGGUCCAACAUCGUCUCAGAUGGUUUGGACAUAUUCAAUGGAGGCCAUCGGAAGUGCCGGUGCAUAGCGGACGGAUAAAGCGUGUUGAGAAUGUUAAGAGGGGUCGUGGUAGACCAAACUUGACAUGGAAGGAGUCCGUUAAGAGAGACCUGAAGGUUUGGAAUAUCGACAAAGACUUAGCCAUGGACAGGGGUGCGUGGAAGUUAGCUAUCCACGUUCCAGAGCCAUGACUUGAUUUCGAGAUCUUAUGGGUUUCAACUCUAGCCUACCCCAACUUGUUUGGGACUGAAAGGCUUGGUUGUUGUUGUUGUUUUGUUGCUAGUCGCUAGCCCAAAGAAUAGCGUUAUAAUCUAGUCCAGUCAAUGUCAAGUAUCAGGUGGUUCAAUAAAAAUGUGAAGUAUCAGGUUGAGUUUAGCGUUAUGGUGGAUUAUGACAAUCCCGUUUGCCAAUCUUUUCUAAGUGCUUGGGUGACCUGUUUUUGCAUACCUUGGUGGCUAAUUUUUCACAUUUUUUACAAAAUAAGAAAAACGCAACACAGUUCGACAACCGCAAACUGAGCUUAGUAGUACAUAACUUGUCUGGUUCCACCAAAUUAGAUUUUCGUUUUCUCUCGAUUAAUUGAGCAUUUUGAUACAGUGCAUAUUUUACCAAAUACCGUGCCUUUUAUUCAUGUAUUAAAGAUUGUAUCAAAGAAAGUGAGACGAGGACAAAGAACCUGAAAUUAUCUCACUUUUUAGGCACCGGUUUGGGCAUAUAUACAUGCUUGGCACCUUGCUCAUGCCCUUAUGAACAGCGAGAUUGAUAAUAGAUCAGCAUUCUGCAUUCAUCGUUACAACUUACUCCCUUUGUCAACUAAUAUAAAAACGUUUAGGCCCUGUUUGAAACCAUAAUAGAUUAUGAUAAUCUGGAUUAUGAAGAUAGAUUAUAUAAUCUGGUUUAUAAAAAUAAUCUAAAUGGACAUGUUUGGAGGCCAGAUUAUAUAAACUGCAAUCCAGGUUUUACAUUGCAUAAUGACCUGUCUGUCCUCUGUUUUUAAAAGAAAGGAGGGUGGCGGUGGUAGGAAUGUAAUUACCUCCAACUUUACAAGGGUAAUGGGUCAUUAGCAAUCCAUAAUCUGAUUUUAGCUAGUGUAGAGUAGAUUAUGAGUUUUUAAUAAUCUGUCCAUCUAGUUUUUGUAAUCUACAUCAUAAUCUGUCCUGUUUGAAGACAAAAUAGAUUAUAAAAACUGGAUUAUAUAAUCUGGAUGGUUCUAAACAGGGCCUCAGAUCACUACUUUGAUGAUCUAAACGCUUUUAUAUUAGUUGACAAAGGGAGUACAAGUUAUGGUAUAGUGCUCCCAGCCUUAGGUCAGGUAAAUGUGCAGUAGACCAGCAUUAAUCGGUACACCAGUAUAUUAUUUUACUAUGGCGCAACCGAAUAUACAUAUAUAUGAUAAUUCCUCAAAACAACAGUGACGAAAAUAGUGUAAAAAGAGAAGAAUGUCAUCGAAUAUUCAUUUCUGAGCCUAGGCUCAUCGGCUUUCUGCGGAAUGGUAAUACCGGGGAAAAUGCUGGAAUGUAUAAUCGUUCAUCGCGGUCCACAGCUGCAUUGGCAGCAAAGACAAGGUGGACAAAUGGGCCCGGCUUCUGCAAAAAACACACACAACUUGGUUAUAGGUUACUACUCCCUCUGCACCUAAAUUACUGUAGUUGAAGAAAACUAGACUAGUUCUCCCAACUACUAUUAUUUAGGUAUAGAGAAAAUACAACUCUACAUGUAUAUCUGGUAAUAAAAGGAACCACGUUACCCAUCUUCACUAUAAUGGCCUUAACUUCUAGCAAAGCAUAGGACAUCCAAUCAAAUUACUUUGUAAUGAAUUUUAACUCCAUGUUAGUUAAUUUUGGCCUCACAGACUUGUAUUUGUAAUUUUUAUAUAAAAUAUGUCUUAGAACAUUUUGUUCUACGGUUAGAGGUUUCAAAAAAAAACUCCAUGUUAGUUCUAGAGGCUGGGGGUGUGCCCUCCUUUUCGAAUAAUAAUAAUAACAAUAAUAAUAAGGGUUUCUACUAUAUUAAACCUAAGGUGAUCUACUCCUGAUGGCUCAUCAGAGUGUAUCAGGUGAAAAUGAGAACAUUCCUGGAAUCAAACUAAUAGUCAGGAUAUCAUGAGAUGCAGGGAGAUUAUUUGUCCUGGUAGUUCCCGCAAAAAGAACAAAUAGUAAAACUAAAAGUAGACAUUGCCUUAUUAAAAAACUCCAUUUCUGUGAAUAAAACUGGUAUCAACCUGCUCUAAAGAAAGCUACAGAUUUCACUUAGUAGAUUCGCAAGGCAGAGUACAUACGUGAUGAAGAUGCCGCACGGUUCAGGAAAACGAGCAGAAUGAUCCCAGUUGUAACAACUCGAAGAACCAAGAGGUACCACCAAGCCAUUGUGAGGCAAAUGAAGGCAGCUGCAUUCACUAUGGUUGGUUCUUAUGCUUCGUCUUCGUCUAAAUAAAGGAUCUGUACCGGUAAUACAGAAAACAUGCAACAACUAAACAAGAACUUUCAGUAACUUUGACUGGAAAGACAGUGAUGUUUUUUAUAAGACGGCAAAGUAAACAGAGAAAAUUUUGUCAAAGGUGAACAAGAAUCUUUGACCGGACCAUGUUGAAUGGGAAAUGGUAUUCCGAUGGCAGCGGCGUGCGUGCGUGCUCCUAUUUUUCUGCAUCAACUACUUGUUACGCAAAGCAGCACACGACGUUUUACGGAAACUUCUAAGUUUAAUAUGGUCACAUUAGUCACUGUCUACUAACGAAGUUGGACAGGUUCUUCUCCCGAAACUUUCAAAACAUCAUUGCCCCUAAUUUUCUUGUUCAGGGACAUUGACAAACCUCACAUUAGUUACGGUCUACUAACAAAGUUGGACAUGUUCCUCUCCUAGAACUUUCAGAAACGUCUUUGUCCCCAGCUGUCCUAUUCAGGGACAGAUAAACUUAUACGACUUGCAAACCUCGCAUUAGUUAUGAUCUACUAACAAUGUUGGAUAGGUUUUUCUCGCAGAACUUUCAUAAAGUUCAUUGCCCGGAAAUUGUCCUGUUCAGAGGGUUAGAAACUUAUAUGACUUAUUACUACAAACUAACAAAUCUUAUAGUCCAAGUUAAUAUUAUUCAAUUUUUGACAUACAUCCAAUGUGGACAUGUAUUGACUAACAAACUGGUACUCUUCCACCGAGGAAACUCCAACCAUAGUUCCAGAAGUUUAUAAACGGCACGUUGCAAAGUUUCAGUUCUGAACCAAAACUAGACUUGCAUGCACCAAGAACAAUCAGCUAAAGACUAGUGAAUAGUGACCUGACCUCUACAACCCAGCAACAUACCUCUAUAAAAAGCAAAUUAUUGCUCUUCCAGAAUCAGAUCAGCCCAAAAUUCACGGUUUCAUAUCAACCAGAUGGGUUGGGCAGUGGUGUUGGCCAUCCUCAUCUCAUCGGUUUUGCAUCCCUUGUUGCUGACAACUUUAGCUGAUGAAUCCGACAACAACCGAGACGCUUUGCUCUGCCUCAAGUCUCGCCUCUCCAUCACCACAUGGAACACCACCUCACCAGAUUUCUGCAGUUGGCGUGGUGUCUCGUGCACAAGGCAGCCACAACUACCAGUAGUGGUGGCCUUGGACUUGGAGGCACAAGGCCUCACCGGCGAAAUCCCACCCUGCAUGUCCAACCUCACCUCGCUGGUGCGAAUCCACUUGCCGAGCAACCAGCUCUCCGGUCAUCUCCCACCAGAGAUUGGCCGGCUCACUGGACUCCAGUACCUCAACCUCAGCUCCAACGCGCUCAGCGGAGAGAUCCCGCAAUCACUGUCGUUAUGCUCUAGCCUUGAGGUCGUGGCACUGAGAAGCAACUCCAUUGAAGGUGUGAUCCCGUUGAGCCUCGGUACGCUCCGCAACCUUUCCUCUCUAGACUUGUCCAGCAAUGAACUUUCUGGUGAGAUUCCACCUCUACUCGGGAGCUCACCGGCUUUGGAGUCUGUCAGUCUCACCAACAACUUUCUCAAUGGAGAAAUCCCGCUGUUUUUGGCAAAUUGUACCUCACUUCGCUACCUUUCUCUACAAAACAACAGUCUUGCUGGGGCCAUACCGGCAGCUCUUUUCAACAGCUUAACCAUCACAGAAAUACAUAUUUCGAUGAACAAUCUUUCUGGGUCAAUUCCACUUUUCACAAACUUCCCUUCAAAGCUCGACUACCUCGAUUUAACAGGGAACAGCCUAACCGGAACUGUGCCGCCCUCAGUAGGAAAUCUCACACGGCUUACCGGUCUGUUAAUUGCGCAAAACCAGUUGCAGGGAAACAUUCCGGAUCUAUCCAAGCUAUCAGACCUGCAAUUCCUUGACCUCUCAUACAACAAUCUAUCAGGGAUAGUGCCACCAUCUAUUUACAAUUUACCUUUGCUGAGAUUCCUUGGGUUGGCCAACAAUAAUCUUCGAGGAACACUUCCUUCUGAUAUGGGGAACACUCUUUCUAACAUCAAUUCAUUGAUCAUGUCUAACAAUCAUUUUGAGGGUGAGAUUCCGGCAUCGCUAGCCAAUGCCUCCAGCAUGGAGUUCCUGUAUCUCGGCAACAAUUCGCUGAGCGGGGUGGUUCCUUCCUUCGGCUCCAUGUCGAAUUUGCAGGUUGUAAUGCUGCACUCAAAUCAGCUAGAAGCUGGAGACUGGACAUUCUUGUCAUCCUUAGCAAAUUGUACAGAGCUGCAAAAGCUGAACUUGGGUGGAAACAAACUAAGCGGUAAUUUGCCGGCUGGUUCUGUAGCAACCCUGCCGAAAAGGAUGAAUGGCUUGACUCUGCAGUCAAACUACAUAUCUGGCACCAUUCCCUUGGAGAUUGGGAACCUGUCUGAAAUUUCCCUACUUUACCUUGAUAACAAUCUUUUCACAGGGCCUAUACCUUCUACUCUUGGCCAGCUAAGCAAUUUGUUUAUUCUUGACCUAUCCUGGAACAAGUUCUCUGGAGAAAUUCCACCUUCCAUGGGUAACUUGAAUCAGCUGACGGAAUUUUAUUUACAAGAAAAUGAAUUAACUGGAAGCAUACCCACAAGUUUAGCUGGCUGCAAGAAAUUGGUGGCACUAAACCUUUCCAGCAAUGGCCUCAAUGGGAGCAUCAACGGGCCCAUGUUUAGCAAGUUGUAUCAGCUGAGUUGGUUACUUGACAUAUCACAUAACCAGUUCAGAGACUCCAUACCUCCAGAAAUUGGUAGCUUGAUAAACCUUGGUUCCUUGAACCUUUCGCACAACAAACUCACAGGUAAAAUUCCAUCCACACUUGGUGCAUGUGUCCGGUUGGAAUCACUGAACUUAGGCGGGAACCACCUAGAAGGAAGCAUUCCACAAUCACUGGCAAACCUGAAGGGUGUCAAAGCAUUAGAUUUCUCCCAAAACAAUUUAUCCGGUACAAUACCAAAAUUCCUUGAGACAUUCACUUCACUGCAGUACCUAAAUAUGUCCUUUAACAACUUUGAGGGGCCAGUUCCAAUAGGUGGAGUCUUUGACAACACAAGUGGUGUUUCUUUCCAAGGAAAUGCACUUCUUUGUUCAAAUGCUCAAGUCAAUGAUUUACCCAGGUGCUCCACCUCGGCAUCUCAGAGAAAGCGCAAGUUCAUUGUUCCAUUGUUGGCAGCUCUGUCAGCUGUUGUUGCAUUGGCCUUGAUCUUAGGGCUGGUUUUCCUGGUUUUCCAUAUUUUGAGAAAGAAGAGGGAGAGAUCAAGUCAGUCUAUUGACCACACAUAUACAGAGUUUAAAAGGCUAACAUACAAUGAUGUAAGCAAAGCAACGAAUGGCUUCUCUCCAACCAAUAUAGUUGGUUCUGGGCAAUUCGGGAUAGUGUAUAAAGGUCAGUUGGAUGGAAAAGACAGCUCGGUUGCUGUUAAAGUAUUCAAACUUAAUCAGUAUGGUGCAUUGGAUAGCUUUAUUGCUGAGUGCAAAGCUUUGCGGAACAUCCGGCACCGAAAUCUCGUGAGUGUCAUAACUGCAUGCUCAACUUACGAUCUGAUGGGGAAUGAGUUCAAAGCUCUGGUCUUCCAAUAUAUGGCAAAUGGUAGCCUUGAGAAUCGACUUCAUGCUAAGCUCCAGAACAAUGCUGAUUUGAGUUUGGGAACAGUGAUAUGCAUAGCAGUAGACAUUGCGUCUGCUCUGGAAUACCUUCAUAACCAAUGCACCCCACCAGUGGUUCACUGUGAUUUGAAGCCAAGCAAUAUACUCUUUGACGAUGAUGAUACUUCGUAUGUCUGUGAUUUUGGGCUAGCAAGGUUAAUUCAUGGUUAUUCAUCUGAAGCUCAGAGCAGCUCAACAAGCAUAGCUGGACCAGGGGGGACUAUUGGAUACAUCGCUCCUGGUGGGUAACUAAAACUAGCCUGAAUUACUAUUUUACUUUUGAUUAUAGUGCUUGUCAUAACUUUUUGUUUCCAAUCGCUGCAGAGUAUGGCAUGGGCAGUCAAAUCUCAACUGAGGGCGAUGUCUAUAGUUACGGAAUUAUACUUUUAGAAAUGCUAACAGGGAAAAGACCUACGGAUGAAACAUUCGGUAAUGGCCUUACACUCCAGAAGUACGUAGAUGCAUCACUUUCAGAAAUUGAACGCGUUCUUCGCCCCAGUCUUAUGCCAAAAAUUGGAGAUCAACCUACUAUUACCCCCAAAAUAGAAGAAUACAGGGCAACUACAGUGAUGCAUAUCUGUGCUCUGCAACUCGUUAAACUUGGGUUGUUAUGCUCCGUCGAGUCACCAAAAGAUCGCCCAAGCAUGCAUGAAAUUUACAGCGAAGUAAUUGCUGUAAAAGAAGCAUUUUUCUCAAUGAACAGUUGAGAGAUACACUACACGCCUAGAACAGUUUUGAUAUACUGCACAUAGAUUUAUGUCGCAAAUAUUUCCGUUUAUUUGGAUUGUUUUCUUCAUUCUAAAGGCCAGGUACCAAAUUGCUGAAUCUUUUUAUGUAAAUUUCACUAUGCAUUGAUGUUAAAGGCCCGAGCUAUUCUGUCAAUUUGAACUUUUCUUCAGAGAUAAAAGGCCGGUAGCUCUGUUUUCCUAUUGCUUUCAUCAAUGCCAAAGCAACUUGGCCUCCCCGCACAAAUGUGUGGGGCGGACAAUAAUCAAUAUUUACAGCUGAAAUCUCUGCAUUGGUGUUGGAAGUUGCUUCUUUUCUAACCAGAAGUCUCUCAAUUUGCCUCACUGCUAAAUAGCCGAAACACUAGCUAACAUUCCUGUAUGAUGUGUCAAGUUUGGAGCACCCAGUAGGCCAGUACUGGUACUAGUAGUAUUGGUGGUGGCUGCAACGAAGCCCAAUCUCUAGGGACUGCGACUACAAGUCCGAUUAAUCCUGGUUAAAUCAAGUUUGAAGCAAAAACUGUACAAGAUCGAUACGGUAAUUUUGGUAUUUGACACGGAAAUAACAGGACUAGAAAAGAAAUAGCAAACCCUAGGUGCUCACUUUGGCCUCAAUCGGGAAUGGGGCUGCCCUGCACGUCGUGACGAUGGCCGUCGGCCGCGCAAGGCGGAAGGUGGCCGCUGGACGUCGACCUUCGCCGGCGUGGUCUUGGCGCUCCGCGGCAGCUUCCUGCUCUUACUUGUUGUCCCGCGGCCUGUUCCCUGACUCGACUUCCUCCUCUAGUACUAGUACUUGAGAGGCGCAUAGUUAGAAAGAACAAGACCAAUCCCGAUUAGACUAGCAUGUUGUCAUUUUUUAUAAACGAAAACUCUAUGAAAAUCAAAUGUUAUAGGCGAGAAUCGAACAUUCCUGGGCUGGCUGCAAACUCCCGCGCCAAAUCAACUGAGCUACGUCACUCUCUGAGAGGCGCAUAGUUGCAGACGAGACGACAAACAAGAAAGCUUAUUUUGGAUUUUGGACUUGCUUUUCCUUUCUUAUUUUCUAUUUUUUUGAACACAAAAGAAUAUUCACGUCUGUUCCGUGGUAAACCGAAACGAAGACAAAAUAUUAAUGACUAGAUUCAUUUUCUUCGAACAAAAAUGGGAGUAAUUUGAUAACACCCGAACGUCAAGUAUGAACACAUGGCAAAUCAAACGUUUACAAUGACAAAUGUAGUUGGUGCAAGAAUUGUAAAAUUAGUUAGCAAACAUGACAAUUUUGUGUAAAGAAUUACCAUGUGCGUUAAUUAAAGUCAUCAUCCUCAAGUCAACUAAGGUUUAUCCAUAAGGUUAGGUACUUACCAUUUUCGAAAAGAAAACAGAAUAAUUUCUUGCGGAGGAACAGGAACAAGAACGGCUUUAUUUUUAAAGGAGUAGUACUCACGAAAGAUAACUUGCUCAGGGCAUGUAACUGUAGAUGUUAUUUUUGUAUCAACAAUGAAUCUAUCAAAUAUCUCUUUCUCGAAGGUUCAUUGGCUAGACUUUUAUGACGUACUAUUCAUAUAGCUUUCAAUAUAACCCUUCAUUGAUUAUGAACACGUUAUUUGGGACGUGGCUUAAUGGAGUGGAAGUUAACAAAGCUAAACAUAUUUGGAUAGGAGUAUGUGCAAUGCUAUGGGCUAUAUAGAAGAGUAGGAAUGAUAUGAUUUUUAAUAGGAAAAACUUUACUAAUUUGUUGCAAGUCAUAGAUAGAGCAAUUACUUUAAUUCGUAUGUGGUCGUUACUCAUGUCUGCGGAGUCUAUUGAGCGUUUGGUUGCUGGGUGCAACAGGUGAGAAACGGCAGCGCAGGCUAUCUUCAACCGACAUGGAUGACGACAAACUAAGGGCUAGGUGUAUACUCAUCGUAGUAGUCUGUGUUGAUAUGGCCAAAUGUGGCAUGUAAUUUCCGUUUAUUUCGAGCCUUCGUGCUCUAGCUGAAUCUUGCACUUUGUUUGAACUCACGUGCUUAAAUAAAAUGGCUGCAUGGCCGGCGGCUAUUUUCCUUUUCAAAAAAUAAAAUAAAUUUGGUUGCCUACGUGAGUUGUUGUGUGAGGCCUAAUCCAGCGCGCAACAGUGAACAGUUUGUGGCCGGCACUGACGCUAAUAUCAGCCUCCGUGUACCCGUCCAUGAGAAGGCCGGUGAAGCUCCUGCGAAAGGAGUCAGCUCGCCCCAUUGACUCGCUGCAUAUGCGUUGCGAUUCUGGCGUCCUACCUCAGCCUCAGCCUCAGCCUCCGUGUUUUCUCCUUUCGAGGAAUCGAUGCCCGCUGGUCACCACGAGUGGACGUCUCCUGAUCAAAGUCAACCCACAAGUUAAGCUAAGCUAAUCCAAGCUAGGUAGUAGCACUAAAAGGAAAAGGUUGCCCCAUGCUUGCACGCUAAUGGCCUGCAGCACAGCACAACACGAUUUUUGAGAUGAAAACUGUAGGGGAGCAGCACGUACAAUCCGUGUACUGAUAGGCUCUGGCUGUAGUAACACGAGCAUGGCAGAGCGUGCCAGCCAUGUUAGAGCAUCUCUAACGAUCCCGCAAAAGUAGUCAAACUCUUAAACUUUUAGGUUUUAUAAUUUUUAAUCUAAAAAAGUGUUCAGAACAAAAACGUAAAAUGGUUCAAUCCGUAAAAUUUUUCAUGGGCAUGAAAAAGUAAUAUACGAAAUCCUUAUAUUUGAAGAUUGGAAGGCCGAACCGAGGGGACCCCGUAUACCGGUCAAACCUCGUCGGAGCAAACACGACGCCGUGGAGUUUAUCGGAAUCCGUCCUAAACUCGUCAGAAUUCAUCACCGGACACCGAAAAAGGCUGCUAGACGCUGCAAUCGAUCGCGGCCAGUUCGAAUUGGACGAGCUCGACCUUCUUUCAUCUCAUCUACAAAUUACUAAUUUAGUGUGUACUUGUCUAUCCUUCUGUGAGGGGAUGACGGAAUAUAUAUGGAGUUUGGGUGUAACUGACCGAAGAUGAAUGCAAGGGCUUUCUUCAACCUGAUAGAAUAGCGAUCCAACAGCAGAAUUGGUGAUUGAGUUGUUUCUCUUCUUACUGCCUAAUUAUUUUUGAGCAUCCUUUAAGUAACACUUAAAUUUUCAAGUGAUAAAGCGUUUUUAUUGAAAAAUAAUUUUGAACGUGUUGCUCCAACUUGUAUUCUUUAUACUUUAUACGGCUUUCUUGAUGUUGCUUACUUAAACAUAAUAAAAAUGCCAGGUAACCAUUUUUGCAAAUGACAGUCAAGAUACGGAUUGUUCCUCUCGAUGCGGAUUGUUCCUCUUCCUCCUUGCAACAACGUGAAUUCCUCCUGCCAUAGCCCAAUCACCCGGCCGGUCUCAACAUCAGAACGCUGCAGCGUACUCUUUCCCCUGAAAUCUACCGAUCCAAAUUCGUUUUAUCAGCAACUAAUGAUAAACAGAAUAUGCAUUUUUAAAGGUAAACGUUCAAAGUUUCGGAAUUGUUGUUUGUAUGCCAAUCCAUCGGCUAGGGGCACGGAGACCGAUAAAAAGAUGAGAUCGAGGUCUUCCCAAGCAAAGACUACUAGUAGCAUCUUUGCCCCCAACUGCAGCAAACUCGAUCGCAGCGCACGCGUUCCUCGAUCGCGUACACAUGCGACGACAUGCCGCUCGGUGCUACUCGCCUACAAUUUCAUGCGUGUGUGUCAUGUCGCCAGAUCCACGAAUGCCGGUUAAUUAAGCUCCAAGCCAGGCCGCGCUUUUGCAUGCAUGCCCCGCCCCUUUCCUUCGUCCAUUCGCAUUAUGUAUGUACUUGGAGAAAAGUUUAGCAAGUCAGAUGACUGCGCUGGCACACCGUAUUGUACUUACUGCCAUGGUUUAGCGAGGGCACACGCUACUGUACUUGUUUGACAUUUUGACGAAUUAUUAAAAAUGUUGGAUUGAUAUAUUAUUACUAGACUCAAUUAAUUUAGAAUGCCGCUAGAGGAAGUACUCUAUAGGUGCUAGCUAAUGUGCUUUGUCACAAUGGAGUACAUUUUUUUGCGGGGUUUGUCACAGUGCUAAUUACCACUACAUUUGUCCUGGUUUACUAUUUCCCUCGUAUUUUGAAUUAUAUUUUUACCAUGACUUUAAUUAGUAAAAUAGGUAAUCAAAAUAAUAUCACUGAAAACUACCUUCCAAAUACGAAUCCAACAAUAUAAUUUUUGGAGCAUGCAUUAAUAUUUUGCUAGUCAAAUAUAUCACUUAAUUUUUGGAGCAUGCAUAAAUAUUUUCCUAGUCAAAUAUAUCACUUAAUUUUUGGAGCAUGCAUAAAUAUUUUCCUAGUCAAAUAUUUUGCCUCCAUGGCUCCAUCACUUAAGCCAUCCAUUGUUCACUUUCAUGUUUGUGUACACUGGUGGUAUCCACAGUGAGGAGCAUCGACAAUAGCUUGAGAUGGUGUUUGGAUACGUUUGAGUCCCAUGACUAAAAGUAAUGAGACUAAAACUUGCUAGCCUCACCCAUGCUUGGAUCCAAGUACUAAAGAGACUAAAAUCAAGUUAAUGAGCAUUUAUUAUCCUCCAAACCCUCCAAUCCAGAACUUGCAUGAGGAGUUAAAUGAGGAGAGAGAGGACUAAUGCACAUUUUAGUAGGGGUACCCCUGACUAAAAGAUUUUAGCCUCAAGACUAGUUUUAGCCUCUCUUUAGUCAGGGGUGCUUGGAACUUUAGCUUCUCAAAGAGACUAGUUUUAGUCAGACUAGUUUUAGUCUCUUGGAUCCAAGCACCCUCUGAGAUGAUUUGUACAUCACCGGGCUCACGGUCCAUGUCUCUAGUAGAGGGGGAGUGAUAGGGGCAAGGGUAGAGAAACAAACUUAUUGACUACGGUAACAUGGCGGCGGCGUCCACUCCAUCAAGGCCGUUGGCUAGUUUUUGCCACCAGGAGACCCAUUGCCGCCUCUACUCGUGCCACUGUCUUUGCCUAUUCUAGGGGGCAUUGAUCUCUUCGAUGCCCCUUGAUAUGUCGGGUAGAACAAUGUGUUGAAGGCUAAUCGAGAGGGAUUUAUGCGCACUGAGCUUAGGAGGAAGUAGACCUAGACAAGGAUGGCCCGGCCCGACAGGCCGGACCCGAAGCCCGAUGUCCGGGCCGGACUCGACACCUUCCAGCCCGAAGCCUGGUGAAAAAUGAUUUUAAGGAUUUUAUAUAAAUACAUGGAUAGUAUAAUAUAGUAUAACUAAUCCUCAAAAAUGUUACAUUGCUAUUUUAAAACACAGAAACCAUGCGUUUUUGGCGUUGUAGGCCAGNNNNNNNNNNNNNNNNNNNNNNNNNNNNNNNNNNNNNNNNNNNNNNNNNNNNNNNNNNNNNNNNNNNNNNNNNNNNNNNNNNNNNNNNNNNNNNNNNNNNCUAGCGACGGGCGCGCGCGGGAGACGGUGGCUGCGGCGAGGAACGGCGGCGAGCAAGGCGGCGCGGGGUGCACACGGGAGAACGAGGUCGGAGGGGAUCGGGCAUGGGAAACAGGAUGACGGCGCGGGGGAAAGACGAGGAAGGACCGGGACGAGGGGCUGAGGAGGGUGUCGCUAGGGUUGGACAGGCAGCUGGGCCUUGGGCCGGCUGGGCCGCUCCUCUUCUCCCUCUUGCCUUGGUGUUUUUUCCUAUUUUUAAAGCAGGAAAACUCAAACAAAAAAGGGUUUCAACAACAAUAAAAGAAAUAUUUUUACUCCUUUAAAACAAACCCCAACUAUAAAAUAGAUUGGGCCUCUUUUUUAAAAGAAAUAAAAUGAAACCCUUUUUAAAGAAUAAAAUAAAACCCUUUUAACAAGAGAAUAAAAUAAACUCCUUUUAUCAAUAAAAUGAGACUCUAGUUUUGAAAUAAAACAAAAGAAAAAAUAAAGGAAACCCAAGGGGUUGCCUCCACAUUUAAUAAAAGGGUUUUUAAAAGAAGACGAACCUAUUUAAAAUAGGGGUUAAAACGGAAACUUUAGCAAAACCACAAAAAUGAAAUAUGAGGGAGAGAAGGUUUUAGGUCCGCGGUGCAACAGGAUUUUAGGUGGCUCUCACGCACCCACUCUCAUCACUCCAACAAAACAACGCCACUCACAAAGCACUAACACCCAACAACACGAAGCACAAGCAACACCGAUAAAACACAGUUGACAUGAUGUCAUUCAUGAUGCGAUGAUACAAACUAAAUGAAGAGGCCACAAAAUAAAAUAACCACACGACGAAAACGGAAAUAAAGGGGAAUCUUCUGGGCGUCGGCAUCGGGCUGUCACACCCUUGCAACAGAAACAAGAAAAUCAUUAUGGCUUGCAUUGCACUCCACAAUUUUAUUAGACAAAGUCAAUUCGCCGAUAAAGAUUUCGACUUGUGUGAUCAAGAUGAAAAUUAUGUACCAUUGUCUAUGCCAACGACUACAACAAAUGAUUCAACAAAUGAGAUGGACAGUGCUGCUAUAAAUCAAUUCAGAGCUUGGGUCGCUGAUGGGUUGUGGUCCUUGAAACAACAAUGAUAUGAACAAGUGUUCUUCGCUUAUGUAAUUUGUGUUAUCUCGGUUGUUAUGUACUCUCUCUUAUUUUGAUUUUAUGAACAAGUGUUAAUUCGUUUGUAUGAACAAGUGUUAUUUUGGUUGUCACUAUUGUGUAAUUCGUUUGUAUGAACAAGGGUUAUUUAAACAAGUGUUUUAUUAUUAGGGGUAAUAUGGACUUAUAAGUCCCUGUAAACAAACAGGUAGGGACUCGGGACUUAUAAAUCCCUGUAAACAAACAGGUAGGAAAUCGGGACUUAUAAGUCUGUGUAAACAAACAGGUACAGACUCGGGACUUAUAAGUUGGGACUUAAAAAAGUCCUAUGACUUACGAAACAAAUAGGGCCUUAGCCACACCAGCGCCACACUUACUCACAUUAAGAAAACAUACUCUCUCUGUCUCAAAAUAACUGUCUUAACUUUGUACUAACUCUAAUAUAAAUUUAUACUAAGUUUAAAACACUUAUUUUGAAACGGAGAGAGUAGCUUUUUAACGGGAAAUGACAACUCGCUGUUUAAGGACAUCAGUUCCAACGCAUAUUCUUUGGUACAUGUGUUUCAUUUGACCAAUUAGAAGCUUGUACAUACAAGGGAUGGUCCGUGAAUCGCAGCUCUUCCAUUUUGUUGAACCUGCGCGGUCGUAGUUGGACGGCUUGAAAUUGGAUUGGACACCAUUGCAAACGAACCGUACGUCUUUGGAUGUCUCGAGCACCCUGUUAAUCUCCAUUCAUGGAGUGAAUUGCAAGAAAUCACCACACUUGGGGCAUCCUUUGCGAAAAACAAUGGGGUUCUUAAUAUUUUGCAAAACGCACCGUUGUUUGGAUGAUUAAAACCCGUUUGAUCACUUUCUAACAAGUGGGACCUGGUUGUAAGGAGCUGACUCAGCAAACAAUUAACACAUACACCCCUAUAUCGGAAAAAGAAAAGCAAUCAACCUAUUCACACGUGCCGGCGGAGGCAAGCCGCACGACCCCACCGUCCGGCCUUCGGUGCCGCCGUCCCUCCCGACAAUCAGCAGGCGACUCCCCUACCUCUACUCCGCCCGAUGUCGGCGAGCAGCAGCAGCUCCACCGUGUCUGUCCUGUGUCGUCCGAACCACGAGCAGCAGCAGCUCCACUAGCUAUGGCACGAGUGUACACCGCGUCGCCCUACCCAACCUCCGGCGACGCAACCAUCGGGAGCAACAGCUCUACCGCGUGUGGAGGACGGGGCUGCUUCAUCGGCGUCUAGGUGAGACGUGUGGUGGUCCUCGGUGUGGAUGUGCAACCUCCUAGCGCCGCCCCACACAUGUCCCUCUUCGUCGUCGUUCCUGUUCGUCGAUGCACGACCUCAGCGGCGCCCCAACGGCGCACCUAAGCAUUAACAGGCGAGGUCGGGAUCAGGGUCUCCCUCCUCCCGCAGCCCCGACGAGCGCGGCGGGGCGACUCCCCUAAGGCGUAGGGGCGAGCAGGUGAAGAGAAACAACGGCAAGGCCGACAGAGCUUCGGCAGCACAACGGUAGGGCCGGAGCCAUGAGCUCGUGGCUAGGGCGAGCCACCGGCCAGCUGCGACGGCCAGGGAGGUGGGAGGCCGCACCAUCCCGUUAGCAAGACUAGGGGGAGGGAGAUCAUCUCGCCGGAGGCCACCUCAAGGUGGCCCGCCACCAUCUCGGAGGAGGCAGGCGACGCGGGUGGGAGGGGGCUAGUUGCUUUUUCAUUUUCUGAAUAUGGACGUCUUUGUGAAAUCCAGGGAGUAGUGUAUAUCAUUUUUUAUCAAAUCAUCUCCUUACAAUCUCACCCCACUUCUCAGAAAGUGAUCAACCAGGCUAAAUCACCUGGUUAGUGAAAUUUGCAAAAAAAAUGUUGUGAAUCUACUAUGUGUUUUACAAAAAACGAAGGACCACGUAGUUUUCCACAAACGAAGCCACAAAUGUGGUGGUUUCUCAUGCAAUUCACUCGCAUUGAUGUAUGUGUUCAACACUGAAAUGGUUGAUGCCAAACAAAAUGAUCAGAUUUUAUUAAACUGGAUAGGAUUGAAUCCUCGGCACAAGAACAAUUUCUUGUUUGUGCAUCCCACGGCUAGGAAGGCAGAUGACAGGGUCUAGAACUUAAUUACUCCCUUCCUUCCUAAAUAUAAACAUAAGUCUUUUUAAGGAUUCUAAUAUGGACUACAUAUGAAGUAAAAUGAAUGAAUCUAUAUAUUAAAAUAUGUCAAUAUAAAUUCGUAUGUAGUUUAUACUAAAAAUUUAAAGAAGACUUAUGUUUUUGUAUAUGAAAAAACUUUCGUGUUAAUAGAGAGAAAUUUGACCCGAACAAAUAUAAGUUUUAUUAUUUUUCUAUUUUACGAUUGUGAAAUCUCCCCUAAUAAUAAAGUGCGCAAUGCUUCUGUCGCCCGUCGUCGGUCAUUUUGCAGAAAAGCCCUCACAGUUUCAGUUAAUUAACCCGCAGUCCAACUUUAAGUCAGAACGAACCUAACCGUUUUUUGCAUUUUAUAGAAAACUCCCUGAUGUUUCAGGUAAUCAACCCGCCGUCCCUAUUUAAGUCAACCGAAACUUUUUUGUUUUAACAAAAAAAACCUGACUUUUCAGUUAAUCAAUCCAUAUUUUAUCUAAAACAAAAUUAUCCAUAUCUUUUAAACCGUAACUCCGAUUUUAACAUGUUAUAUAUGAAUUUUGAUUGAAAAAAUGUGUAGAAUCUAAAUAGGAUGUUAUUUUUAGCUGUUAAAUACUUCUUAAAUAUUAUUUUUGAUUCAAACUUAAUCUGUAGUGCACGGUCUUUUUUCUCUCUUUCCGACGACCAUACGAAUUUGCAAUAAAUAUUCAUUAAAUUAAAACCAAAUUGAGAGGAAAGAAAACAUCGUUAAUCACACAUGCACACCUUUGGAAAAUCUCGUGGGAAGAAACAACAUAUUUCUCAUCUUAUUCCGAGUGAUUGUACAUUCAAACGCGUUUUCGUUGUGUGAGCACUGAGGUCAUUGUCGACAACACAAAUGUUAUGCCAUGUGAAAAUAUAUUACGUUUAAAGCGUGUGUUAUUUUCUCUUCCGUUGCAACGCACGAGUUUUUUAUAUUAUAUAACUAUAAAGAUUUGGGAUUUUUGUUGGGAAGUUCCGUGACAAUAUUGUACGUACUAAUUUUCUCUUUGGGCAAGUGGCUCCAUAUCUCUUAAAAACCACGCGGAGAACGAGCAGCGGAUCUUCAGCAGCAAGAUUGUACUUCCACACGUUGGACUUUUCUUUCUCUUGGACUGUUCAUACAGAUACGGAUACGGAUUCUCACUAACUCAUUGGUCUUGGACAGUUCGUACGGAGGAAAAAGUCCAAUUUCAACCUUUAAUAUGUGAACCAUUUUAUAAAAUCUCUCAAAAAUAGAAAACGUGAUUUUUUUCAAAAUCGGAACAUUUUUCAAAUUCGAAAAUAUUUUUGGAUGCGCGAACAUUUUUCUUGUAGUUGUGGAGUGAUGCAUGCAUUUGUUCUUAUAGUUGUGAGUAUAUUAAGACUGUAGCUUAAGCUCUACCUGGUCAGCAUUUUUUAAAUUUGUUAAUAUUUUUCAAAAAUGACGAACCUUUUUUCAAAUAUUUCUUACAGUGUGUUGGGACAAAUCCGGUCAGGCGAUGAACGUCGAAUAGCCUACAGGUACGCAUAAUACACACCAUGACAACCCACACAUACACGUACAUCCACACGUAAUAUACAAUAAAUAUUUCGACUACAUACAAUGAACUCUAUAUAAUAUAAGUGAAAAUAAACAGGAACAAAAAAGAAAAAAGAAAUCAAAAAUAAAAAGUAUAAAAUAUAAAUUGAAACAGAAAUAAAUUCGUGAACUUUUUUCUCACUUUUUUAAUUCCGUAAAUAUUGUGAUGUUCCAUAGCGAGAUGGGCCUGACUGGUCUGGGCCAGUCUUUUUCGCGCGUGCGCAGCUCAAUCCCGGUCAAGUCAGCAAUCCUAGUUUGUCAAAAGAAUCCAGGGUUCUUUUAGACAAGGAUUACAUAGUUUAGGGUGCAAUCGACAGGGAUUUCGAGUUGAAGGUUCAUUUCGUCGAACCUCUACAAAUUCAGGGUUUAAAAUGAACUUUUUCCUUCAUACGGAUACGGAUUCUCACUAACCACAGGCUACAUCGGUACAGCUCCUGGACCGGCUGCUUGUUAAGCUGGGGAUAAUGGGGCGAUCAGAUUGGUGAGAGCAUCUUCAUAUUAUGUUCCCAAAUCUUCCCUCGUUGUCUGCAUGGGGGAAAUAUUAAUACAAGAAACAUUCAAGAAAAAAAUCAACGGAGAAAUAAUAGCUCCUCACUGCGCAGUGCGUACAAAAAAACCAUCCUUGUGCUAAUAAUAUGCCUAUAUAUAGACCGAACUAGCAACGUGCAAGCUCAAAACUAACAGCAAGCAACCAUGGCUUUUUAUGACCAACAAUUCAAGAUUCUCGAGGUACCUCCAAUCGUGCAAGAGCUUGUGGGCGCCGGCGUGAAGGAGCCACCGAGCCAGUACGUGCUUCCCGAGCAAUACCGUCCCGCUGCGGCGGCGGUCUCCGAGAUGCCCGAGCCCAUCCCCAUCAUCGACCUCAGCCGGCUCUCUGCCGGCAGCGCCGAGGAGUUCGACAAGCUGCGGUCCGCGUUGGAGAACUGGAACCUCUUCCUGGUAAUUAAACUUCUUUUCCCAUUUUCAUUUCGGUUGUGUGAUGAAGUGGUCAUCUCGAUCUCAUCUCCGGCCGAUCUUUCUCCAGGCUGUUGGACAUGGAAUGGAGCCUAGCUUUCUUGCCGAGGCGAUGAAGGCCACCAGAGAGUUUUUCAACCUCCCAAUAGAAGAGAAACAAAAGUACUCGAACAUUGUCGACGGCGAGAAGAUGAGCAUGGAUGGAUACGGUAAUGACAUGGUCGUAAAAGAGAAUCAGGUCCUUGACUGGAACGACCGGCUUAAUCUCCUCGUGGAACCUGAAUCCCUAAGAACCUACAGACUCUGGCCAACGCAACCCCUUCUUUCAGGUACUUAUUUACCGUCUAGCUGUAGGUUUUUACAGUCUAUAUACGGUACGCAUGCUGCUGCAGGCUCUGCUAUCAUGCAUGCCCUAUUUUUAAGCUGAUACGUCAGUAGUCUGGCAGUUGAUGAUUACUACUCCACAAUUGUGCAGAGACGUCCUGUCUGAAUACACGGUCAGGUGCAAAGCGGCGACCAACAUUGUCCUUCGAAACAUGGCCAAGAUGCUCAAUUUACAAGAGGAACACCUCGUAAACAUGAUCGGCGACAACUCCAUCACCCUAGCUAUAUUCAACUACUACCCUCAGUGUCCAAGGCCAGACCACGUCUUGGGCCUCAAGGCCCACACCGACGGCUCAAUAAUCACCAUCAACUUCGCCGAUGCCGAGGGGCUCCAGCUUGAGAACAACGGCGUCUGGUACAACGUGCCCAUUGUUCCAAAUGCAUUGGUUAUGAACAUAGGAGAUAUAAUGGAGGUACUUGUGUCUACAGCCAGCUACAUGUAUAAUAGUUUGACCUUGUUUUGUGGAUUGUCAAGCUGAGAUAUAAUACAUCUCUCUAUUUCAUCCUUAUGCAUGCAGAUUUUGAGCAAUGGGGUUUUCAAGAGCCUGGUGCAUAGGGUUGUCACCAACGCGGAGAAAGAGCGCUUGUCGGUGGUGCUGGUUUAUACGUUGGAGCUAGAGACACAACUUGAGCCGGUGUCAGAGCUAGUGGAUGACAAGAGACCUGCACGAUACAUGAAGAUCAAGCUCAACGACUACAUGGAAAAAUUCCUUGACACUUAUGCCACUGGGACACUAGCCAUCGACGGCGUGAAGAUCCGAAUAUGAUUCCGUUGUAUGCAAAAGCUCGCUGAGUAAGAUCUAUGAUGAAGUAUCUUCCGUUGACCAGUUUUAACGAGUUUAUAUUUUCACAUAUUUUCAAGAUUUUGUGUGUGUACUCCUCAUGUAAAAUGUUGGGCAGCUUGUGUGGCCGCAUUAAACCCUAAUAUAAAACGUAUCCGCUGUGGGCAACGUACGGAUGCAAAGGAUGGAAUAAAACUUAUCGAUUGUGUGCAACAUGCGGAUGCAAGGAUAGUUUUUCCUGUUAGUAUGUAUCAUUGAUAAGUACCAUUGUGCCUCCGUUUCAAGAAAUUAAGAGACCAUUGUGCCAUGAAAAAUGUGGGUUAACAGUCAGAAUUUCAUGUGUAUCUUUCCUGAAAAAUAGACACCCACUACUAUAGAGUGUGACAUAAAUAGACACCCACUACUAUAGAGUGUGACAUGUCAAUAGCUUCUCGUCGGUGAUUACGAUGUUAGCAUUAACUAGUCACACUACUAGGAAAAACCUUAUAGGAAGGACAUGAGUAGUAGCGCUAGAAAAAGAAAACGCUGCUGCUAAUUAGCAGUAGCGCUGAGCCAGCUGCAUACACCUUAGCAGUAGCGCUGCUAAUUAAAAAGGCGCUACUACUAUGUGGAACCAGACGAUGCCACUGACGGUAGCUGUAGUAGCAGCGUUGCCCAAAAUCCAGCGCUACUACUAAGUAUUUAGCGGUAGCGCUUUGUUUUGCAGCAUCGCUGCUGCUAGUUGGCUCCACUUAGUCGUAGCGCUCGAUGGUGUGCAGUGCUACUACUAAUAGAAUAGCAGCAGCGCUCUCUGUUAUCCAGCGCUACUGCUAGUUGCGGCUGCCCACCYCCUCCCCCCCCCCUCCCCUCCCCACNNNNNNNNNNNNNNNNNNNNNNNNNNNNNNNNNNNNNNNNNNNNNNNNNNNNNNNNNNNNNNNNNNNNNNNNNNNNNNNNNNNNNNNNNNNNNNNNNNNNAGGCCUCCGGUCCCGGCCCCGCCCUCGCCGGCCACCACCCCGCCUGCCUGUCCCCAGCCACUUCACCGUCGUAGGCCCUGGCAUCUUCCCUGCUUCCCCACCGGUCUCUGCUCCCAGUCGCCCCCGCCGGUCCUGGCCCCAUUGCCCCCGCCGUCCACGGCCUCGUCAUCCCCUGCUGCAGCUCCAGUGAGCACGUGCAUAGUGGAUGGUGGCAAGGCAGCUAGGCAUGCUGGAUCUCGGGCUGCUACACCAACCCUCCUCUCUUGUAAUUUUCUACGAAGCACCGAUACUUCAGAAAUUUGUGUAUCGCCGUUCAGUACUUCACCGAUAUUCCGAUACUUCAGAUACGCCUUCGAUACGGGUAUCCCCGAAGUAUCGUCAUUUCCAAUUUAAAAGAAAUGGCGAUACGCGUAUCCUCAAAGUAUCGCCAUUGUGUAUUGCCCAUGCCUUGAUGUAUCGUUGAUCUGUUCAUAUACAUAGUGCACGUGGAUUGUACUAAUGUAGUAGUUGGAUAAAAGUGCUUGUUAAGAAUGUUACUUGUGCAAUUCAUUAUUUGACCCACUCGUGCAAUCCAAAGUUGCUCUUUAUAUAUGUUUGUCAUUUGACAAUCUCAAGUUUUUAAUUUUAAAAGAUUUAUUAAUUUUAUAUUAUCGUGUUAAUAGAUAUUACAGUCUAAAUUGUAUUGUGACAGUCUAUGAUCAAUUGGUCGUAUUAUUCAUUGAUGAUAGUGAGAUUUUAAAAUGAGAAACAAUAAGGUAUGAAAGUAAUUAGGCAAUCAGUGGAUCGGUAUUUUGUUAUCAUCUCAUACAUUUAUUUAUGUUAGUUUUUAUUGCAUGUUAUUUUAUCAUUAUUUAUAUAUGCCUGCCGUAUCGCCGAAUUACUGUUUUUAGAAAUUGUCAUAUCCCGUAUCGCCGUAUCAGUGUCGCCGUAUUGGUGCUUAGUAGGUAAUUUUUAGAUCAACGUGUCCUGUAGUUUGUUCAUGUGUAAUAAGUUAGUUUUGCCUUGUAUCAGAAAGUGAUGAUGUAAUCGGUGUAAAUAGAGUAAUUUUGUAUUGUGAAAUUUAUUCAUUUGUUGUUGAUUCUUGAACGAAGUGUUGAUCGAUACUAUGUUCUUCUUCGUCGUCAGUUCGUGGCCGCCUCUACAAUUGGUUAUUGGUUCAUAAUGUUCUAAUAAAAAAUACUUUGAUGUCUUAUUCUCUGAGGCUGACUGCAAAGACAAUAUUGAGGCUGAUGACAAAGAGUUGACAUCGUCCGUUAGCGUGCGGUUCUGUUAGACUGCCUUUUUUGUCGUCUACUUUGUAACAAAUGAUGGCAAACCAUUUUCAGCAAAAAAAAUUCGUCUACCCGAUCGAAUACUGACGGCAAAAUACCUCUUUGCGGGUGAUAAGACCUCGAUGACGCCUAGAGGGGGGUGAAUAGGCUAUUUAAAAACUUCUUCGGAUUUGGCUUGAAACUAAUGCGGAAAUAAACUAAGAGGGUACUUGUCAAGCACAAAUCCUAAAUGCACUAGGCACUACAACGUGUAUCAACAACACGAUCUACCAAGAUGGACACAAUACAGUUACUAACAAGCACAAGUAAGUUACACAAACUUACUUGAGCUAUAUCACCCGACAAGUAGGUGAAUAACACAAGAUACUAGAUCACACUAUAUCACACGAUAUAUCAAGGGCUGCAAGUAUGAACGUGUGGAUAUAGAGGGUAUGCUUGAAUGAUUAAUCUUGUACAAGAAAUAGCCCAUACAAUAUAAUGAGCACAAACAAUAUGCAAUGUAUGUAUGCUCAUGUAACACAAGUAAACCACAAGUAAGGAGUUAGGGUUAAGGAUAACCAAGGUCACUGAGACGAAGAUGUAUCCCGAUGUUCACUUCCUUGAAGGGAAGCUAGUCACCGUUAGAGAGGUGGAUGUUACCACGAAGGCACACCAAUGCCACGAAGGCUCACCCUAUUCUCCCUUUGAGAUAACACCACGAAGGCGUUUCUCAACCACUAGUCGUAAGCCUUUGAGGUGGCUUCCAAACCCUCACAAACUUUUUCGGGGAGUAAUCACACGGAUUGAUUCCUCUCCGAAGGACUCCUACCGCCUAGGAGUCUCCAACCUCCAAGAGUAAUAAGAUCACGGGGAAUGCUCAAAACUUGCUCAAAUCUCAAAUAGCUUGGGUUGAGAGGAGGAGAGGGAGACGAUCUAUCUUUUGAUUGGAACAACUCUCAAAGGGGCUCACAAAUGCUCUUGGGAUCUAAGAUUUGGUGUGAGAAAAUGUGUGUGAGGUAGAAGUGUGUUCUUAUGAGGAUAAGGUUGUGUUGGGAUACCCUCUCACGAAGUGGGAGGGGGUAUUUAUAGUGGGGAGAGAAAACAACCGUUGGGGACACUUUAAGUCACAUAGGGUCCGGACGUCCGAUAGUUUCCGGAAGUCUGGGCGACCGCGAGGGGUCGGACGUCCGACAGGGGUCGGUCAUCCGAGGCCUGUAGAUAUCACUGAAAAUACUGUGAAUUGAACAGCGACCGGACGUCCGGAGAAGGCCGGAAAUCCGAGUUAUUCGACUCAACUUCUUCUGGUGCAAGGUUCCGGAUUUUCGAGGCUGGUCGGACGUCCGGCUCUCGGAUGUCCGGAGGGAGCCGGAAAUCCGAGUUAUAUGACUCAAAUACUUCUGUUGGAGGGCUCCGGAUUUCCGAAGCUGGUCGGUCGUCCGACCCUUGACCGGCCCUCGGACGUCCGGAGGGAGCCGGAAGUCCGAGUUAUAUGGCUCAAGUUUCUCUCGUGCAUAGUUCCGGAAUUCCGAAGCUGGUCGGAUAUCCGGGACUCGGACGUCCGGAGGGAGCCGGAAGUCUGAGUUAUAUGGCUCUGAUUUCUUUGGUAUAGGAUUCCGGAUUUCUGAAGCAAUCGGUCGUCCGGCCCUCGGACGUCUGGAGGAAGCCGGAUGUCCGAGGCACUGGUUCUGUUUUCAGAUAACAGCAGAGCAGUGGAGAUGUGGUCUGAGCAAAAUAGUGGAGAUGUAGUUUGAGCAAGUUCAUCGCAAAACCUGUGAUCCCCUCUUAAUAGUGCGGGAUCCCUAAAGACUCAAGAAUCAUAAAAGGGGUACUGAUGACCCAUGCUUGAGUGUAUACUUUUAUUCACUGAUCAUCACUCCGCACAACUAACGUCACAGGAACUGAUACCUUUGGGUUAGCCCUUUCACUUGAGCUUGAUGUUGUUGUUCCUUCUUGGCUCAAGUUGAAAGCAAGACAUGAUAAAUUCUUCAAGUAGCUCUCCCAUACACGAUGUGGAAAGCCUAGCUUAUGUAUUCAUCUUCAUUUGUCCACCAUGUGAACAUCCACAAGAAUCAAGCAUGUAGUGCUCAGGAAUGCUUAUCUUGAUCUUGUCCUUGUUAGCACAUGAGCUUGUCCUUAUCAACACAUGAUCAUNNNNNNNNNNNNNNNNNNNNNNNNNNNNNNNNNNNNNNNNNNNNNNNNNNNNNNNNNNNNNNNNNNNNNNNNNNNNNNNNNNNNNNNNNNNNNNNNNNNNAUGGGAAACAAAAAUUUUCCUACGCGCACGAAGACCUAUCAUGGUGAUGUCCAUCUACGAGAGGGGAUGUGUGAUCUACGUACCCUUGUAGACCGUACAGCAGAAGCGUGAGUGAACAUGGUUGAUGUAGUGGAAAGUCCUCACGUCCCUCGAUCCGCCCCGCGAACCGUCCCGCGAUCAGUCCCACGAUCUAGUGCCGAACGGACAACACCUCCGCGUUCAGCACACGUACAGCUCGACGAUGAUCUCGGCCUUCUUGAUCUAGCAAGAGAGAGGGAAAGGUAGAAGAGUUCUCCGGCAGCGUGACGGCGCUCCGGAGGUUGGUGAUGAUCUUGUCUCAGCAGGGCUCCGCCCGAGCUCCGCAGAAACGCGAUCUAGAGGUAAAACCGUGGAGAUAUGUGGUCGGGCUGCCGUGGCAAAGUUGUCUCAAAUCAGCCCUAAAACCCCACUAUAUAUAGGAGGGAGGGAGGGGAGGAGGCAGCCUCAAAACCUAAAGGUUUGGCCGAAAUUGGAGGUGGAGGAGUCCUACUCCAAUCCUACUUGGAGUAGGAUUCCACCUUCCCACUUGGAAACUCUUUCCACCUUGUGUUUUUCCUUCUCAAACCUUAUGGGCCUUAGUGGGAACUUAUUCCAGCCCACUAGGGGCUGGUUUAUCUCUUCCCAUAGCCCAUGAGACCCCUUGGGGCGUGACACCCCUCCUGAUGGUCCCCGGCACCCCUCCGGCACUCCCAGUAUACUACCGAUGAGCCCGAAACUUUUCCGGUAAUGCACGAAAACCUUCCGGUAACCAAAUGAGGUCAUCCUAUAUAUCAAUCUUCGUUUCCGGACCAUUCCGGAAACCCUCGUGACCUCCGUGAUCUCAUCCGGGACUCCGAACAACAUUUGGUAACCAACCAUACAACUCAAAUACGCAUAAAAAACGUCGAACCUUAAGUGUGCAGACCCUGCGGGUUCGAGAACUAUGUAGACAUGACCCGAGAGACUCCUCGGUCAAUAUCCAAUAGCAGGACCUGGAUGCCCAUAUUGGAUCCUACAUAUUCUACGAAGAUCUUAUCGUUUGAACCUCAGUACCAAGGAUUCAUAUAAUCCCGUAUGUCAUUCCCUUUGUCCUUCGAUAUGUUACUUGCCCGAGAUUCGAUCGUCAGUAUCCGCAUACCUAUUUCAAUCUCGUUUACCGGCAAGUCUCUUUACUCGUUCCGUAAUACAAGAUCCCGUAACUUACACUAAGUCACAUUGCUUGCAAGGCUUGUGUGUGAUGUUGUAUUACCGAGUGGGCCCCGAGAUACCUCUCCGUCACACGGAGUGACAAAUCCCAGUCUCGAUCCAUACUAACUCAACGAACACCUUCGGAGAUACCUGUAGAGCAUCUUUAUAGUCACCCAGUUACGUUGCGACAUUUGAUACACACAAAGCAUUCCUCCGGUGUCCGUGAGUUAUAUGAUCUCAUGGUCAUAGGAACAAAUACUUGACACGCAGAAAACAGUAGCAACAAAAUGACACGAUCAACAUGCUACGUCUAUUAGUUUGGGUCUAGUCCAUCACAUGAUUCUCCUAAUGAUGUGAUCCCGUUAUCAAGUGACAACACUUGCCUAUGGCCAGGAAACCUUGACCAUCUUUGAUCAACGAGCUAGUCAACUAGAGGCUUACUAGGGACAGUGUUUUGUCUAUGUAUCCACACAAGUAUUGUGUUUCCUAUCAAUACAAUUAUAGCAUGGAUAAUAAACGAUUAUCAUGAACUAAGAAAUAUAAUAGUAACUAAUUUAUUAUUGCCUCUAGGGCAUAUUUCCAACAGCCAGGCCCGUCGACUGUCGAGUACAACGUCCAGCGCCUCCCGGAAGAUCAGGUGGGAGCUGCCUAGGGGGCCAUGGUGCAGGCGGAGCUGAUGGCGGGAGAGGCCAAGAAAGCGUACGACUCCAUCGCGUCCGUGUACAAGCGAAGCUUGGAACUACGGGACGAUAUCCCAGUAAGUGGGCUAGUAAGUAUUUACCUUCCUCUUGUAACCCAGUGGGUGUUUGAGCAAUGCACUCGGAUAUUGUAUGAUUAUUUUGCAGUGGGUUCACUCUUAGUGAACCCACUGGGUGUACUCCCCGAGACCGCUGUCGACUGCUUGUGUCGGCAGGGGUCUGAAGAACUUAGAAAUUUUAUUGUUGUCCUUGUUGAAUUUGUCUGAUCGUCUCUUGGCGCUGACUUGUAGAAAACUUGCGAGAUGGGAGCAGCGUACGAGACUCUGAGGGCUGAAAAGGUUCAGUUUGCUGGGGAACUGGAUGCAGCAAUGGUUGCCUUGGCUGGUAUGAAGGAUGUUCUGGCUGAACGAGAAAAGUCCUUGGAGGAGGCCCGUGAGGCAAACAAGGCAUUGGCGGCUGAAGUGGAAAAAUGGGGAAACAAAGGACCGAGCUGAUGGGACAGAUGAAAGUGUUGAACAGGCGGUGCAUAGCACAGGAAAAUUACGUUAGUGACUGGGCCCGGAAGAUGAUAGCGCUUCUCGGUGGUAAGUUCUGUUUUUCCGAGUGCUUGUGGACUGUGCAUUUCAUUCUGUGCUUACUGUUUGCUCGCCCUGUCUUUGCAGAUUUUUGAAUGGACGUUGAGGCUGAGGCAGCUGACGUUGAGCGGUCGAUUCUUCUGAACGUUCCACUCGGCGAGGACGCCAAUCAAGAUAUGCUCCGAGCGCACAUUCGCGUGGGCAAGGUGGGGCCUUUCAUCGGUCGACUGAGAGAGGUCGUCAGCUGAAUCGACAAGGAGCUUUGGCCAGAAGACGAGUCUCGGCAGGAGAUGGAAGGCUUGAUGACUCGGCUAGAGGAGGUCCCGAACCGAGUGCAGGCGUGAAAGAAGUCUGCGGCUCGCUGUGGUGCGGACAUCGCUCUGUCGCUGGUGCGAGUGCACUGCAAGGAGGCUCGCGAAGAGAAGCUGAAGGCGUUGCAGGUCGCCAACACGAAAAGCUUCGAUUCGAAGACUUCAUGGAGACCUUCCUUGAGAGCGCCACUCGCAUCGUCGACGGGAUCAACCUUGACACAUUCAUGGAGCCUGCCAGUCCUAGUGCCAGUCCUGACGACGUUUAAGAAAACUUUUACCUCGGUAUGCCGAGUGUUGGUUGUAAGAAACUUUGGCCACUGCUGUUGGCCGUCACAUUCGUGGUUUGGUGUGGAUAAGCUUGAUCUACACCGAGCCAACUAUCCUUAGGCGAACUUUGAAUUUGAAUCGAAUCUUUGUCUCUUCUUUUGCCAAAGAGUUGUUGAUACGAUUUUGGCUCGUGGUUUUGUUUGGCGUUUCUUGGUGAAACCAAUGGCAAACAUGUGGAGCAUGUAAUUGUCAGUUGUCUUGACAUCUGCAUGAGCCUCACUGAGGGUCUGCUGAGUCUCCGAGUGGAUCUGUAAGAUACACUCGAAGGCAAUUGAGUGCUUAGGCGAUUCGUGAUCGCGGCUAAGUCUUCGUGUGCGACUGUAAGGUCGUACUCGGAGCGAGUUGUUACUCAUGUAAUUGUCAGUGGUCUUGACAUCUACAUGAGCCUCAAUGAGGUUCUGCUACUCAUGUAAUUGGCAGUGGUCUUGACAUCUACAUGAGCCUGAAUGAGGGUCUGCUAAGCCUCCGAGAGGAUCUGUGAGAUACACUCGAAGGAAGCUUUCUAUUUAAGCGAUUCUUGAUCGCAGACAAGUCUUCGAGUGCGACGUUAAGUGCACACUCGGAGAAGGUGUGAAGUUAGGCGAUUCGUGAUCGCAGCUAAGUUUCCGUGAGUGCGAUGGUUAGUGCACACUCGGAGAAAGCUAAUACUUAGGCGAUUCUGGAUCGCAGCUAAGUUCCCGAGUGCGGACGUUAAGUKCACACUCAAGAAGUUAGUACUUAGGCGAUUCUGGAUCGCAGCGUCGCUAGNNNNNNNNNNNNNNNNNNNNNNNNNNNNNNNNNNNNNNNNNNNNNNNNNNNNNNNNNNNNNNNNNNNNNNNNNNNNNNNNNNNNNNNNNNNNNNNNNNNNGUCUUGGGACUUAAGGCCCAUACAGAUGGCUCGAUAAUCACAGUCAACUUCGCCGAUGCCGAGGGGCUCCAGCUUGAGAGAAACGGCGUGUGGUACAACGUGCCCAUUGUUCCAAAUGCAUUGGUUAUGAACAUAGGAGAUAUAAUGGAGGUACUGUGUCUACAGCCAGCUACAUGUAUAAUUGUUUGACCAUGUUCUGUGGAUUGUUAAGCUCAGAUUUAAUACAUCUCUCUAUUUUAUCCUUAUGCAUGCAGAUUUUGAGCAAUGGGUUUUCAAGAGCCUGGUGCAUAGGGUUGUCACCAACGCGGAGAAAGAGCGCUUGUCGUUGGUGCUGGUCUAUACGUUGGAGCUAGAGACACAACUUGAGCCGGUGUCAGAGCUGGUGGAUGACAAGAGACCUGCCCGAUACAUGAAGAUCAAGCUCAACGACUACAUGGAAAAUACCAUGACACUUAUGCCACUGGGACACUAGCCAUAGACGGCGUGAAGAUCUGAAUAUGAUUCCGAUGUAUGCAAGCUCGCUGAGUAAGAUCUAUGGUGAAGUAUCUUCCGUUGACCAGUUUGUAACGAGUUUACGUUUUUACCUAUUUCCCAGAUUUUUGUGUGUGUACUCCUCAUGUAAAAUGUUGGGCAGCUUGUGUGGUCGCAUUAAACCCUAAUAUAAAACUUAUCCGAUGUGSGCARCAUACGGAUGUAAAGGAUGGAAUAAAACUUAUCGAUUGUGUGCAACAUGGG
This 52748-nucleotide long non-coding RNA is filed under the name Hordeum vulgare. RNAcentral's name for it is "long non-coding RNA (HVUL_LNC017050)". The record is from RNAcentral. Lineage: Eukaryota; Viridiplantae; Streptophyta; Magnoliopsida; Poales; Poaceae.